UCGAUCAACUUUAGGUACACUUCACUCCCAAAUCCCACACAAACACUUUGUCCUUAGGCCAAACUACCAGGUAUAGACCCUUUUCCACCGUGAAACAUAAAAUGUUACAGGCGAGCUUCCAGUUCCAAUCAGUUACACAUAUUAUAUAUAAAACAUACAGUAAGAAAGAGUACCAAGGAGAAACAACUGGGAGGAACUAAACCAUCCUCUAAACGAUUAAUCUCCUAGCUAAAGGAUGACAGUAAAUAUGAAAAAUUGAGUACACUAAGUUACUUCAAAGAUGAAUAGCAAAUUAAUUCCAAGUUCUCAACAAACUCACAGGCAUAAGCACCAAACAGCAAGAAUACAUUUGAGCAUUAAAGUUGAGUUCUUGAAAAACUAAUGAUCUGAGAUCAUUUAAACUUAAUCCCAGGAAGUAACUUGAAGAAACCAUAUUAUUGUAGCUGCAGUCUCUCCUAUAGAAUGUCUGGUGCCUGAGUCUCCCGCUAAUUGGGGUUUGUAAUAUAGAGCGUCUUCAGAAACAAAGAAGCAUGCUGGUAAGCCAAGAAUCAUGUAAAAUCCUGAUAAUCCUUAAAACGAUCCCUCCAUAAUUGCUCUAACUAACCAAAAGAUAGCUCCAUUUAUCACCUAAAAGGCUAGAAAAUUCUACCCACCACAAAGAAAAGUUACAUCCACUCAAUUGCAACUAAUAAUUGGCCUCAUCAAUACUCCCAGCAUCCCAUAAUGCAUCAGCAGGUCCAACUUGCUCAACUCUGAUAUCUGAAUUAUCUAACAUUUACUUCUCCCAAAAUAAUAAUAAUCUAAAGAAGUAACUCUUUUAACAAAAGAAAUUAAGAUCUUAGCUACUGGUUUCACAAUUACACUGAAAAUUCUUUUGAUUAACUACCCUCCGAAUAUAAAAGCACAUAAGGUCAAGCAAGCAAACCUACCUGACAAGAAAAGCACUUCAUGAUAAGCCGCUUGACGUAAAGAGCCACAGCUUUCCUACGCUCCUCAGACGGUUGGUUGGGCUGUAUGCACGCAAUCAGCUCGGCAGUCCUCUCUUCGGCCAUCAUCCAUCUCUCCGCGUCGAGUACCCGGGUCACACUGGCCACUUGGUUGGGCAAGAGGCCAUUGGGCUUCACGCCGCUCGGCUGAGCCCAGCCUUCAUGCUUGCCCAUGCAAGGCGACUAUCGUCUGUAACUUCGCCGUGCCUCCUCUUCUUUCCUCCUCUCUACGCCACAACAACCUCACCCUCUUCACAACUUAGUUCCACUGUACAGUAAUGCGCGAAGAAGUACAGUAGAAACCCAACCAAAAAUCCUUACUAUCACAGAGACAACAGAAAGGCAAAGAACAAUUUCUUCUUCCACCCUUCAUUGCCAGGAGUAAGGCAUUCAAUAGCAGUAUUCGACAAACUCACUUCUUCUAGUGCUUUAUCCUGAAAUCAAGAGUGCCAGUGUCAAAAUUGUGGCAUUCUCUGCAGAACCAAGUCACCGUACUGACAAUCAAUCUGAUCAAAGCAAACACAAGCUUAAAUCCCCACUAAUUACCGAAAACUGAAGCAAAGCAAACAAAUAAUCCCUAAAAUAAGGGCAACCGAAGGUUACAAAAGAUCAAGAUCGUGCCUUUCUCACCAAAUCCACGGCUCCAAAAGCAAAACCCAGAGAUCCCGGGCCCAACAACGCAAAAAACUCAAAACCCUCAACACAGAGAGCUCCGCCACGAGAUCUCCCAACACCAAUCGAACUCAAAACGGAUUAACCCUGCCAGGGAACACCGCUCCCUCGAUCGCAAUGGAAAAAUCUAGGGCAAAAGAGGGACGGAGGCAAAACCCUACCCAAAUGCGGCGGCUCCGGCGCGGCUCCGCCCCGGCAAAUCCGAUUCCUAGGGCGGCGGCGCGCGCCGCGGCGGUGGCUCGAGGUACGACGAUCGGGGGUUCGUCGGGGUCGACGAGGGUUUGUAGGGGUAGGGUUCGGGGAGGAUCGAGGAGGAGGUGGGGGUAGGGUGGGGGACGAAGAGAAGAGAAAACGAAAAGAAAUGGGUGGAAAGGAGUAAGAGAGAGAGAGAGAGAGAGAGAGAGAGAGAGAGAGGAAAUGGGUCUGAGUACUUCUCUAGGGUGUGUAACGUUUCCCCGAACCCAUUCCCUUUCCUAUUUAUAAACCUCGUGUUGUUACUUGUUUGUAGUUUCCACUGCGAAAUGCGCAAUGUUACAUUUUGACCUAUCAUGGUUUGACCAUGAAAAUCUAGCUCGAGCUCGAAACGGGCUCGUUUUUUUUUCUUUUUUUUUCUUUUAAGAUCUCGUUAGUUAAACGCGUGGACUCGAUAAACUUGUAAACAUCGGUAUUUAUUUCGGUCCGAAAUCACAAGACAAUUUAAAUUUUCCACUCAUAUAUAAUUUUAUAAAAGUCAGCCUCCUAAUUUCGACUUUGCAAAACUCACAAGUUCUUCGCCUUAUGAGUUCCUACUUCAGAGUAGCCCCUAAUUGAUUACAACAAAAAAUUGUUUGUGUCGGGACCAAUUAUUUUAUUUUUAACUUUGAAAAGUAGUUUGAUAUUCAAGAAUGAAUGAGAUACCGGCGAAAAAGAAAAGAUUAUUCAAGAAAGAACAACUUAGUGAUUUGAAGACGUUAUUGAAGUUAUGAGAUGCUGGAUAACGGGAUCGAUGUUUUAAAAGCUGAGACGCAAGAGUGCACAAGUAGGACUGUAAUGUCCAAUGUGCCGAGUGGGCACGGCUCACACCAAUUCCGGCUAGGGCACGUCUGAGGACAGUUGUGUCAGAUCAAUAUUCGGGCCGUGCUGUGUCGGGACGGCUUUUUCCCAUCCAAGGCCCAGCACGGCCGAAAACGGUGCCCAAAAGGGUCGGGUCGUACCAAGCCACAUCGGGCCGGGCCACUGGGUUUCUUCCAUUGCAACUUACAUAUGUUAGCUUAUUUCCGUAAUGUUUUGCGUCCAAAUUUGAUAGUUGUGCCAAAAUUUUGAACUCAUUCGAAACAAUAGUAAAUUGUAUGAUGAAAAAAAAAUCGAUCGAAACGUACGGGAUGGUUGAGUGAAGGAUCAAAGUGUGAGAAUGGCUUUUCAUAAUUUAGCCUUUUCUUUUAUCCUUUGGUUUAGAGAGGAUUUGCUUCUUGAUCGAGGACAUUAUUGAAAAGGUUAUGAGGUUGAUUACAUGUGAGGCUUUGUCACUUAGAAAAUGGUUAUGCAUUAACUAGGUUACGAUUCGGAGCAUCUACGAUCAAGCUUUGUCAAAUUGAUUCAACCAACUUUGUCAUCGAACACGACUUUACAUCUCAAACCGCCACGCUUAUUUCAGUUUAAUCAUCCAUAAUAUUCGAUACGGUGUUGAUUAAGAUGAUCAAACAUUGUCAUGAUAGAGAAAAAGUCAUUUAAAUAUUGUUGUUUUAGUAAUUUAGAAAGAAUAGGGUGUAAUCAUGAGUUCUAACAAUAUUAAUUUAUUCUCAGGAAUUAACCUUGCCAGAGAAUUUUUUACUGUUUACAGAGCUAAAAACUUCUUAAUCCUUGAUAGGUAAUAUUUAAUUAGCAUAUUUUUGCUGUCACAUAGCAUAAACAGAAUACUACACGAUUCUUUAAAAAAGCUCUAAAUUAGUAAAUUCCCCACCACUGUCCUUUUACUUAUGGAGUAAAGCAUUUGUAUACCAAAAUAAUAAUAAUAAUAAAGUUGAGUACAUUUUUACUUUAUAUUUAAGAAACUUUUUCAACUGAUUCCCUCUUAUUUGGUUAAUUUGUGGUAACUUAAUUUGAAUGCAAUGGAUAUUCGAAUACUCUAAUAUUGAUUUUUGAAAUUGAGUGUUCAGACUCAAUUUUCUUUUUCUCUUUAACACUCCAUUUGUAUGAAGAGAAAAGGAGAGAAAAGAAAAUGAAGAAAAGAAAAUACAGUUAUAAGAGAAAAUAAAUUUCUCUCAUUUGAAUCAAAUUAAAUUUGAGAGAAAAUAAAAGGAAUGAAAAGAACGGAGAGGAAAAAAAAAAAAAAAAAUCUUUCAUAACGUUCAAUAUUUGUCUCUGCAAAAGUGAAGAGAGUUAUUUUCUAUUUUUUCCUUUCUUUGAUCCCAUUGUAGAGAAGAAAUAUUUUUUUCCUUCUUUUUUGUCGCAUCCAAAUGAAGCAUCAGCAUACUACAAUUUUGCUCUAACUUUAUUCAUGCUUGCUAAAUUCCACAAUAAAACUUAUCUAAUAUUUCAUUAGAUAGAUCUUCUUCUUUUUUUUUUUACCUCUUGGAGGCCUGUGUUGCCUCACCUCUGCAGGUUAGUUUACUAUUUCAAUGAAUGAAGCGGAUAGUGUGAUACCUAAUCCUCAAAAAAAAAACAAAAGAAAAAAAAAAAAAACUUAUCUAAUAUGUUCAAACAUCGCAAUCGAUACAAAAAUCAAGUUCCUAGCAAAUGUGCCCACAAGCUUACCAUGUGUAGAGAAAUCAUUAUGGGAUUUCAUUUAUGUUUUGGUUAGUGCAUUGAAUUGAUAUGUAAGAAAAUGUAAUUAACUGUGAUCGAUGGUUCCUUCCAUCUAAUGCGUCAAAUUAAGAUAGAAAGAAAUGAAACAUUAUGGAUAAAAAACCUGCUAUAACAAGAUGAUGAGAGUAGAUAUGUUACAAGGAUUAAUUUAUUCUAUUCAACCACAAAUAGGAUAAAUAGUUUUCUCUUUAUAGCAUGAUGUAUAGGGAUGGAAUUAAGUAGAAAUGAUGCAUCUGAGAAGAUUCAUUUUCAUCAAAUUAAUGCAUUUACAUGGUGGAAAGUAAUCAAUUCACUUGUAUUUAUAUAUAUAUAUAUAUGUGUGUGUGUGUGUGUGUGUGUGUGUGUGCGCGUGUGUGCAUCAAAUACGACAUUUGUAUUAGAAUGAAGAGAGAUAAGAUUAAUUGUUGAAAGGGAAUAGUUUUCUCAAAUCUUGUGUGCAUAUUUAUUUUUUAUUAGCUCUGCGUACGUACUCUAAACAAAUUGAGUAAAAUAUUUCGUGCAAAAGCUACAGGUGAAACCUCUUUUCAAUCUUAUUACUAUUCUAUGUAAAACCAUGCAAUUUGUCACUUUUUUCAAUACAAAACGUACGUGCAUACAUAUAAACAUGCAUGCGUAUUAUAUUUUUGCUAGUUUAAAAUUAAGUUGUAUAAAUUUAUAUGCAUGCUCUCGCACGUGUAUAAUUGUUCAUCAUCAAUUCUAAUAUAUAUAUUUUUUUUUCUUUAGGAAUUACUGGAGCUUAUAAAGUACAAAUUCAAGAAAAUGAGGAGGGAUCAGAUGAUGAAUUACUUUGUUCUCCUUUUCAUUGUCCUUGUCAAUCGUGUACCCCUUAUUGGUAAGAUGUUGAAUCUGUAUAUACGGAUCAUUUUACAUCAAAUAGAAAAUUAAUUAAUUAAUUUGCUUUACCAGCAGUGUUCUAUUCAAAUAUUUGAAGAUUAUUUUAACCUUCAACCAGCACAAAAACAUUAUAUUUCAUUUUUUGUACUAAGUACAAAUUGCUCUAAACACUGGGGCUGUUUGGUUUUUAGAAAAAAUAUGAAACCAGAAUUUUCUAAAAAAAGUCUUUUAUGAUUUCUUUUUUCCAGUCUUUCAUCCAUUAAAAAUAGUUUUUUUUAUAAAAAAACUCAGAUUUUAUGAAAAACUAGUAUUUUUAUUUGUUGAAAAAAAAGUUUAGACUUUAGAGAACAAAAUAUUUUUUUAUAGAAUUUAGAAAUAAAUCUUCAAAAAAGCUAUUUUUAAAAAAACCAAACGGACAAAAAGGAAAAGAAAAGAAGUUUUCAAUAAAAAGCUUUUUUUUUCCAAAAUUCUUUUUUUGUAUUUUUUCUAGGGAUGCAAACAGAUCCGGGUUGGAGAAGCUCCCGCCCCGAUCCGCCUCGACGGAGCAGUAAAUGAGAGAAAAUACACGGAAUCGGAGUAAAAAAGGGAUAAAUUUUACGAUCCGAGACGGAUUUGGGACAGAAAACAGGAGAAAUUCGCCCCGCCAUGAUCCGCCCCGAAUCCGCCCAAAAAAUAUUUAUAUUUUUUAAAAAUAUUUCUAAAAAAUAAUAUAUUUAUAAAAAAGAUUACAAUAUAAAUAAGUUAGUAAAUAUAUUUGAAAUUUUUGAAUUUUGUUUUGAAUUAUGAUUGAUAUUUUUGAUUUUUAUAAUUGAUAUUGUUAAAUUAUAUAUAUAAUAUUAUUAACAAUUAUUAAUUUAUUAUUUUAUAAAAUAAUAAUAAUAUUAUAAUUUUAUAAAAAAUAUUAGUUGGCGUCCCGGAUUCGGGACGCCGACAAGAGGCAGGUUACGAGGCGAGGCGGAUUAUGAGAUGCAUUUUUUAACCCGUCACGAAUUCGGAAGACAGGACGGAAUUUUGCUAGUCGGAGCGGGAGCGAGGCGGGAUUCCCGCCUUCAGAUCCGUCCUGUUUGCAUUCCUAAUUUUUCCUAGGAACCAAACAAAUUUUGAUACAACUAUUUUAAUACCGAUUCCGACGUCGAACCAAAUAAGUCCUAACUCUAAAUAAAAAUUAAUAUGAUGAUUAUUGAAUAAAGUGGAUGUCAAAUAUACAUAAUAUUUUGGUAUGUAUAAGUAGUAUUCGUUAUUUUUAUAAUACCGACGGCGUCGCAGCUCCUCUUCCUUCCAACGUGGGUGUGUGUUAUGGAACUCUGGGCGACAACCUGCCGCCCCCAAGCAAAGUCAUAUCCCUCAUGCAGAAAUGCAACAUCCUCAAGCUCCGGCUCUACGACCCCAACCCCGACGUGCUGGCGGCGCUGCAGGGCUCCAACCUCCUCGUCUCCUACGGCGUCAAGAACCAAGACUUGGCCGCCAUCGCCGGCGGCGUCGACCGAGCCCGGUCCUGGGUCGACCAGUUCUACGUCCCCUACCAGAACCUCAACGUCGCGGAGAUCAUCGUCGGCAACGAAGUCGUCCCCGGCGACCUCGCCCGCUAUGUCGUGCCCGCCAUGCGCAACCUUCAUGCUGCGUUCAGGAGCUCCAACUUCAGUAUUACAAUCACCACCGCCAUUUCAUCAGCGACACUGACCAACACCUACCCGCCGUCACACUCCGCUUUCACCAACGGAGCUAUUAACGUGAUGGCGGAGUUAGUCGGCUUCCUGAAGUCCUCGGGGAUGCCGCGCAGCAUGCUGUACGUGCACCUGUACCCGUACUUCGCGUACGCGGCCGACCCCGCGAACGUGCGGCGGGACUACGCGUUGUUCAAGGCGCGGGAGCCGGUGGUGGUGGACGGGAACCUGACGUACUACAACCUGUUCGACGCGAUGUACGACGGGUUCGCGUGGGCGAUGGAGAAGAUCGGCGGAGAGGGGGUCCAGCUGGUGGUGGGGGAGACCGGAUGGCCGUCGGCGGGGAAUGGGGAGUUCACGACGCCGGCGCUGGCGCAGACGUACGUGACGAACAUGUACCGCCACGUGGUGAACGACGACCGGACGCCGAAGAACCCGAACAAGGGGCUCGGCGGCGUGCUCGCCUUCGCGUUGUUCGACGAGGACCGGAAGCCGGCCGGAGUCGAGCAGAACUUCGGGCUGUACUAUCCGUCCAUGCAGCCGGUCUAUUCCUCUCCUUUCAGCUGCUGAUCAUUCCUUUUUUAUGGUAUGAAAUGAGCAUGCCCACUACCUGUGCACUCAAAAAGAUGAAACAUAAAUCUUACAUCGAUUGAUAAUAAAAAAAAUUUAAUUUUUUGGAUAUACAGAGAGGAAAGAUUUAUGAACAUUUUUGGAAGUAGUAUUUGCCAGAUUAUAUAUUAUGGGUGUGUAGAUCUGUUAUGUAAUGUAUGCAAGUGGAAUGUAUCCAGAAAUAAAUGGACAAAAGUUAAUUUAGUGGACACCUGAGCUGACCCAGCUCUGUUUGGGGACUGCGCGUAAGUUUUUGUCUCGGAAAAAGAAUCAGUUCUUUUAUGUCCAGUAGUUAGUAGUAUGUUUAUGAUGGGAAAUAACUAAUAAAAGAGAAGGUGCUCGAGGUAAAUAAGUUUUUUUUUUUUUUUUUUUUGGGUAAACUUCAAAUACCAUCCGUGUAGUUUCAUACUUUCUCAUUUUAAAGUAUAUCAAUUUAGUGCCCUGUAAUUUUUUUUUUCUUUUUGUCAGUCCAUACGUUAGUUUUUCGUUAAAUCAUACACAAAAUACUUCGAAAAUCCCACUUAUAGUUUAUCGAAUAUUCACUUUAGUAUUUUUUAGUUUUAAAUUUGCUACUGAUUUAACGAAAAAAACACUAGUAGAGGGAUAACAAAAAGAGAAAAAUAAAACCAUAGAAUACGAAAAUAAUAUAUUUUAAACCACGGAAUACUAAAAUGAGAAGGUAGAGGACUGGUAUUUGAAGUUUUCUUUAGUAAGCCUGUGCAGGCCCCCUCCUAAGAAGCUCUUCCUCACCGAGGGAGACUCCAUAUUUUUUUUUUUUUAUAAGCCUGAAGUCCAAUGCAUGAUCCAUAUUCAACAGUUCAACAGGCAUGACUCAACAUACAAGAUUAUUAAGUAGAUUCUCUCUUAAAUUAUUUAUCUAAUUAUCUAAGUUCACAACGCAUAGACCAAGAUAAAAUUUAGCACCGAAUGUCAGAACUCGCAAUUCCAUUUGUUCAUUAAUCAUUCACAGCAACACAACAAACUGAAAGCAAUCUUCGAAACCCCUUAAUAUAUACACUACUUGUUUGUUUCCAGAGGGUUCAUUUCAUACACUUUUAAAAGUCUACAAUAAUGUUAAAUAAACAUUAUUUCUAACCCUGCAUACGACAAGCGGUCUUUGAUUCCUCGAAUAAAGAGAUACUCAACCAUACAGCUACUUCUCGUUGGGUACGAAGAAAUCGAAUGUGACAUCAACGGUACCUGAUGUUUCCCCAGUGUCCUUAUAUUCGAUCCCUGUUAUUUUCCCUAUAUAAUUCUCUUCGGAUUCUUGAUAUUCGGGUUUCACUCGCCGCACAGGAACUGUAACAGAAUACACUGUACCGAGGUCAGCAUCUGUCGAGACACUCAGUUGAACCUUAUCCUGUGAGUCUAUUUCGACGAAUUCAGAAAGGGCUUGAACAAUAUUCUUCACGAUCUUUUUCUUUGCUUCAUCACUGACCGCACACCUGUCGGAGAACAGGAUCAUCUUAAGCCUCUGCUUUGCGAUUUGCGCAUUGGAAUUUCUUUUAACUGCUGGUGUGGGGAAUAAUAUUUUCCAGGCCAAGCUUAGGCGAUCAAAGAAGUUCAUGUUGACUACAUUGUGAAGGAAUCCUUCAGCUUCUUGGUUUACAGUAGAGGGAGAAAGGGCAUUUCUCGAAACUCCAAUUUUCAAAUUAUAACCGCGCGCAUGACCAUGUUGCUCAAGGGAAAGCCAUUUUGGAGCAUACUUCUGAUUACUGGAACCUCCAUUAUGAAAACCACCAAAUUGUUUCUGCGUUGUGGCAAAUAUAAGCAUAAAUAAGCAAAAGAGGAAAAAAGAAAGAUAAGAAUGAACAUCUAAAAUUAGAUGAAUAUAAGAACAAGAUUUCAAAAAAGCUCUGUACGAAUAUUAAUUCAACAUAAAAUUCAUGGCAGCACUAAAAUAGUAGGACAGAGAAUUAUCAAGAAAGGAAUUGCCCAUAGAUACAGAAAACUUCACACCUUUUCAAACAAAUAAGUAAAUAAGGGCUUUGGGCAAAGCUUUUGGAACCAAUCUGAAUAACCUGAUAUAAUAAACAACGUUUCUUUCUCUUGGAGAAAAAUAUACUGUAUAACUUGUUAGUGACAAACAGCUGCAUAAAGCCACACCAGCCCUAUGCCGGCGACCAGUCAGAUGCUUAUUACGAGACCCUCUGUUUAUUUAUUUCUACUCUCUUCUUUCUCAUUCUCUAUCACUGUGUCUUGUUCAAAUCCCUUGUCGCCCUAUACAUCAAUCAAAGGGGAAAGAUUGAGAUUCGGGUUCCAUGACUAGUAUAAAGCUUCAUAAGGAAACUUCAGCACUUCUCUUUGUAACUUCAGGUUUUAUCAAUGGUAGAUUUGCAUAGCUACUCUUCUUCCAGAAGUGCUACUUAAGAUCAAUAUGAAAUGAAAUCAGAUCCCACCAAGCACAUAUGAUGAAGAAAUAAAUUUGAAAUCAACUGACACUAGGGGUAUUCUACUUAUUAGGAUCUCAAGUUGUGUCAGAAUAGUACAUUUUUGUAUUACUAAAUAAGAUUACUGCUCAUGCCACAAAAAAUAUGUAGCUGGUUCUUUAUCUUGAGCAUACACCUUUUUUCCUUCAUAAAGACUCUGAUUAGGUUCAUCUAGUAACUACUAGAUCAUAAAAUGUUUCACAGAGACAUAUUAAGCUGCUGUAAAUGUUGGAAACCUAAGAAGUGAUUACUUAAUAGACUAACAGACUGAUCAAUGGCUUGAACUAUGAAGUAGGUAGUUCUGAUUGCUUAUACUUAUAGAUGCAUGUACGAUUCCAUAUUCUGAUGUACGGAAAAUGUGUGUUCUUAUGUUGGUAUCAACACAAUCAUGUGUAGUUCCAGAACAGAAAAGCAAAUUUAAGCUAUAUGCUCUGAAUUAUAACAUAAGGAUGAACCACAAGUUUCUCAAAAUUAGUUUAGUCAUGACAAAUUUAUCACAUAGUUCAAAUUAAGUGAAGAAAAUCCAUUUGCUACAGUUAAAUAGGAAUUGUUGUUUCUAAGAGGUGGGGAUGAUGAUAACACCUCAAUAGAAGAAUAUCUAUCACAAAAGAUAUUACUGGUUGGGCUGAAAUGAAAUUGAGAUAGCAUGGUAUAUUUCGCUUCAAAAAUUUUUUUAGCAUUUGAAUCUCUGGCUUUACAAGGUAUGAUAAAAGGACAGUACUGUGAUCAAGUAGACUGCAAUUUCUUCUUGAUGUUGCGAUAGGGGUCGAUAUGAAUUAGCUAAACAAACUUCUGCACAGAAAAGCUGGUUUUAGCAGAAACAUAAUAAGAUGUAGUAGGAUAUUGCCUAUUAUGCGUCAACAAGAUCUAACUAAUUCUCGGAGACCAAAAAGGAGUUGAAUAGCAAAUGAGAUUGAUGCCAACAAUAGCAGCGUCUAAAGUUUCACAAAGAAGCAUUUGAUGACAAAUAAAAGAGAAGGAAUCUAAUACUUGUCAGCAGUAAGAUAAUACAACUCCCACCAAAUUGUCUCCAAAAUAUGUGCAACAUUACUUAAAAAGGGUCCCGAAGUCAUAAUUGAGGACAAAAUGAAUGCCCGAAUAGUUAAAGGAGCAAUAGUUAGAUCUAGAAGCUUACACAGAUCUCGAGCUUAAUCAGCAUAAAAGAGGACUACUAUAAGAUUUCCCAGCUGAAAGUGUAAUACAUAUAGUGAUAAUUGGUACACUGACUUUUGAUUCUAAAGGCUAGCGAUACAAGAACUAAUACUACAUCUUCUUAGAUUUAUAGAGAUACGCAUGAGUAAUGUACAUUUAUCAUGUUCAAACAUCGAUACUAAAACAGUCAGUUACUUAAGAAUCACAUGUCCAGGUGGAAAGAAAGUAAGCUUCAGAAUAAAUGCAAGAUAGUUACUAUUAAUAAUGCAAAACUCAGUGGUCCUUUCUCUAGACGAAAAAGGAUUCAGUCCAUUUGCGUACAAUUAACUUAACAAUCAGUAAAAUUUCUUGAAAGAGGCAACAAGGUUCACAUUGUCGGGGUUUUUCAAGAGUAUUAAGAAUACACGGACAAAGAUUCAUGGUGGGAACAAUAACUAACAUGUACACGCCUGUAACCAAACAAAGAGAAUUAUGAGUAGCUGCUCGAGAGAACAACUCAAAAUAGCCUAAUCCAGUCGCAAAUGCCUCUUCAUCCCUCUGUUACCCUCGACUCUCUGCAUUCGUCGAAGGGGUGUUUGGAUUUAAAAAGUUGCGAUUCGGCUAUAAAUCAAGUUUAUUAAGAGUAGAAACAUAAAUAGUUAGUUUCGCCAUCCAUCAUGAAGACGCAAAGAAGAUUUGGUGGUUAGACUUGGGCUUAGUUUUUCGAAAACAAAUUUCCUUUUGAAAUGGUAAGAAGUCAUCUUUCGUUAAAAAAAACAAAAAACAAAAUACAAAAAACAAAACCUAACCUAUGAAUAGACUACGAAUCUCUCCGGCGUUAUGUUAGUUAAUGGCAAAAUCAAUAUUUUUUUACUCUCACCAAACUUGAUUUUAAACCGAACGACAAUUACUGUCAAUCCAAACACCCCCCGAGUCUCCAAAAAUGCUUCCGCAAUUUUUUCUCUUUUACUCCCUAAAUAAAGCUUUUAUUACAAACAAGUAAAGAAAUAUACUGACGAUGAAACCAGACAUGAUCGAACAAAUCGAAAAGAAGAAAAUUUAAGCGAUUAAUGUAGCUUUUUAGGUACAUUCCCACUCAAAUUUCUCCCUUCGCGAUAGAAAAAUGCGUAUUAAUUACAAAUUCUACCAUGAAUGACCAUGAAAAUUUCGCAGGAUACUCCUUUUUGAGAGGAUUGCUCCAGAUGCCCUAAUUAGCACGUCAACGAAGAUGAAGAAGAAGAAAAAGGAUAGAAAUGGGGUGUCACCAUGGACGGAGGAAGCGCCUUGAGCGAGUAAUGAGAGGCUAAUGCUCCGAGAGGCUUCAGAUCGCCGUGAAUCACCGCCAUUUUCCUAGGGUUCCGUCGAUCCUUCGUGGUCGGAACUCGGAAGCGACGAAGCGAUCUCUUUUUUUCCUUCUUUUUUUUUUUUUUCCUGUAAUAUUUUUCCUUUUGUCUUUGGCGAGAUGUGUCAGUGUAGAGAGAGAGAUCCUAGCAACCCUAGUCGUACCUUGGUUCGGGUGGAACUGGGCCCAGGCCUAAACCAGGCCCGGGCCGAUAGGCUAUGAUUGGGCCGGGUUUCUGAUUUAUUAUUUUGGGCCUAAACCCGGUUUAAAAACUUAAACACCAAAAUGUUUCGGGCUUAUCAAAGAUAUCAUUACCAACUAACCAGAUAUUUAGUUACAUGUAUUUCCCUAUAUAAGAAAUUAAGGAUAUCUUAUGUUAUAUAAAUAGUAUUAUUCUAAAGUCCUAAUUAUUUAGAAGUAAACUGAUUUUUGAUGUAAGCAAACUCCAUUUUCGAACUUGUAAAAAUAGAUUUUAUUUCAAUUUGAUAGAUGUAAAUAAAUAUGUGCUAUUUUAUAAAUACAUGGAGCGCUUCUAAAUGAAGCCCGAGCCUUGGGCUUGGGAUUGGACUAAGCCUUAAUUUUUCUUAAAUAGUGGAUAAAAACCCGACUCAAAGCCCAAAAUUUUAUUCGGGCCGGGCUUAGACAUAGUGUGGCCCGAUCCAAAACAGGCCCAGUUCUAGCCGACCGGAGCUAUUAAAGGAGAUCCACUAUGGCCAUGACACCCCUCAGCUUUUUAAAAAUUAUACACGAGUCCCUGAUUAAAGUAUAGCAAAAAUUAAAAUAUUCUAGAGACCAACGCGAAAUCUUUUCAUAGGAAGCUUGUUAUAAUUUGCUUUAUAAAAUCUUGUUAUAAUUUUCCCCUAAAAUGCUUGAACAUCGAACAUUUACUAUAAUUUAUCGUAUAAAAUUUUGAAAAAUAAAUCCUGGCUUCAGCACUGACGACCAUAUUUCUUCCGUUUUGUAGCUUGUAAUUGUCUAUAAUUUUUCUCUUACACCAGGCAAUUUUAUUCUUUGUCAACUGAUACAAUCAUACAAGUAGAACUACACACCACUUGUAAUUGUCUUAUCAGUUGCAUCAUUGUUUCUUCUCUUUAUCUGAUGGGUUUAGAAAAGAGAUAUGCAUCCUCAAUUGAUUAGCUUCGUUUCUAUGAUAGUAAAUUUAACCACAACUUGAUGCAAGGAAUAGAUCAUAACGUUUUUAAUAACGAAAAACAGAUUUGGUAAAAGAAAAUCGGUUAGAAGUUAUUAACCACUAUUCCAUUCCCGUUUGAACCGGCAUUGCCGCGAAAUAAAACCUUAAUUUUAUGCUAGAAUUCAGAAUAGAAACUUCAACAUUUGUGAGCUACUUUUCAUCCAUUUAUAAACCGCACGGGAAAUUACCCUGUACUUGGUAAUUAAAAAAACAGAGCAUUAAACUUAAAAGCCAAUCCUGAACCACCAGUAGAGGCACAAACAAUUAGUUUUAGAACACAGAUAAAUGAUAAAAAGAAUCAGAUACUUAUAUACAAAAGUGCAUAGAAUUCAUAUAACAUUGCACAUGAUUCAUAGCCCGCAAACUUUGAAUCAAAUUCUGACAUAGAUCAGUUGAACAGACACUGACGAACAAAAAUCUACGCUGCAAGCCAUCGUAAUGUCAUGUUAAAUUAGAAAGAGUUAUCGGCAUUGAUGGUAGACAACAAAAGAGAAAUAAUAAUAAUAAUAAUAAUAAUAAUAAUAAUAAUAAUAAUAACAGAACACUAUAAUAAAGAUGUCUCCAUGUACAAACAUGCGAAUGAAACAAGACAAUGAGGACUGAGAAUAGUAACAAUAAAGGUAAGAGUACCAAAUUAAGAAUCUUCUUUUGAUGAGAUCCAAUGCUUCCAUGUACAACUAUGCCGAUGAAACAAUACAAUAAGGACUUGCAACAUUAAUGUAACGGAGAAGAAUAAAGAGUAGCACCUUAAAAAUCUUCCGCUGUGAUCGAAUCACGAGGGAUCUCGUAAGCAUCUUUCGGCCGCAGCUUUUUCACCCCAGCCGUGAAGCACACCUUGUCGGACUUGUAACUCUCCACACCUACAUGAGUGACUUUGACCCACACCAUGAACUUGGUCUUCAUCCCUUCUAUGUUGGCGAGCUUGCCCCUCGACAAGGUCCCCUUGACGCGGGACGCAUACCUCACUACAGAAGAAUCUUUGAAGCUGACCUCACAGGUUGAAGGCAGGUGAACAACCAACUUCGAGUUGGUUUCAUCGAACUCGUAGGUUAUGAUGUUUCUAGGAAAGAGGCCCGGUGGGAGAUUAUACUCACGGAGGAGGUCAGGCAAGGAUUUCAGUGGUUUACCUAGAGAAAAAUGAAAAGCACUAAGCCUUUAAAGAAGAUAAAAAAUGAGUAACUGAACAUGCUCUAACUGAUUAGAGAAUCUAUAGGGAAAUAUUUAGUAGCCUGUGUUGAUAGAAAAUGUCAACUUUUUGCACAGAUGCUAAAACAAUUAUUAAAAGGUUAUCUACGCAAACAAUUUGAAAUGCAAAUUUACUUGCCUUACAAAGCACUUUGCUUAAAAUGCAACUUUUAGUCAAUCAAGACUGGUAACUGUUAAAGAAUAUGCAACUGUAAUGGAAAAGGAAUACUAAUCAGAAAAGGUCAAUAAUGGUUUUAUUGAAUUAAAAAUAAUGUCAUUGGUUGCAGUUCAAUGCUGUAGGAUAUGCCAAAUAGUGGAUACAAGAAGCCCACAUUUUGCAAGCUGAUAUAUAAUGAUUAACCAUUAACGCACCUGAAAACAUUAUGAGUAUAAACUAUCCGUAAGUUUUGAAGAACGACAUUUGGUUGAUAACUAAAUGGUAACCAUAUUUAUAGUUAAAUUUUUAUAGCUCAAGAAAGUUUGAUGUUCUUGCUCAUAUGUUAAAGAGGAAAUAUCAAGUUAAUGGUCCACCUUACUAAGAAACUCAAUGGCCAACCAACAUAUGAAAUACAAGUAAUGACAGAUAAUGUGGUAGCUGCACAACCCACUUAUUAAAAUUUAGGUAUCACGAGAUGUGAGCCUUAAUGGCUUUUAACAAGUCAAAACUUCAAUCAACCCAAACUCGGAAAAGAUCUGGGACGAGUUUAAAACUAGCUAAUUAGCGAAAGGAUAUAAUCAGCCUGGAGUGCAGAGUGAUUUUUGAAGAACGAUCAUCAAUAAUAUAGGACAGGAAAAUGAGCUUUUGAAUUGGUAGACAGGGCAGCUCAUAAUGCUUUACAGAAUUUAACGCUAGAGAUCACAGCCUAACUCUGUUCAAGAAGAGAGGACAAAAAAGAAAGGGCAAAUUUUCGUAUUUGUAUAAGAAAUAAGCUCCAAAACAAGUGACUAGAAGGGUCAUAAUAUAAGUUGGUUAUCCCCAUUUAACACUCAUGAGUUACCAACAUAUACCAAAUCGAUCAAUUUUUUACAUCACCUUAGACAUUUACAUGACCAAUAGCUGCUUUUACAAACAAACAUUAAGCUAAGAAUCAAUUUUUUACAUCACCUUAGACAUUUACAUGACCAAUAGCUGCUUUUACAAACAAACAUUAAGCUAAGAAGGAAUACAUAAUAAAGGAUAAUCAACACAUAUGUGAAUGAUCUAUAAAUUUGGGAACCAAAAACAGAACCAAAAAUAUAUAUAUAUUUUGCAUAUAGGAGGAACUGUAACAAGACUUUAGUUACUUGACUAAUAAGAUAAGAAAAAAGGAGAGUUCGGAAACCAAAUGGGAGCUUUACGAAAGGCAGGGGACCAACUAAUAAUGGAAUUCAUGAAUACGAUGUGAUACCAACCAAUCACCAAUCAUUCACAACCUUACGGAAUCAUGCUGCAGAAGCUCCAUAAUCGUAACAUGGGUGCACAUUUUGAAUGGCAUUGAGAUAAUAACUCAAAUGUUAUAGAGCAAAAGUACCAGAUACAUGAGAAAAUAAAUAAAUAACAUUAUAAAUUUAAUCCUGUUACCAUUAUUCCCCCUUUUUGUUAGAGGGAUGGAGUGUUUGCGCAAAUGAUGGAUUGCUUACGGUUUAUACAUCUACAAUGAAAACGAAUGCUUAGCAGUAACAUAAUUCAGUUCUUCGUUUUUUUUUUUGUUUUUUUUUUUGUUUUUUUCAAAGAAGAUGUUAUUCCAUAUGCACGCAGGGAUGCAUUGCAAGCUAAACAACAACAACAAUAAUAAUACUAAUAAUAAUUAUAAGCACAUCCAAUAAAAGAAUUUGUGAGUAAAAAAGAAACCAAAAGAAACAAGGGUAAGCUCUAAAUUCUUUCAUCCCCUACAAAAUACUAAAUCCAUUGACAACCAAGAUGAAUCCAGAGUAGAGAGAUUCGAACCUUUCAAUUUCUCGAAGAUCCAUUUAGCUUUCUCUUCCACAGUGCUCGAGAAACGCUGCAAAAUCACCGGAAUAAACAAUUUUCACUAUAGUUUACAAACCAAAAAAAAAGUAAUCAAAAUACCUACAUCAGAUAAUCAUAAUUAAAUGCAAUGCAUAAGAGACUCAACAGAUCCCAUAAUUUCGCCAAAAAAAAUCUACUAAAAACACCGAAAAAUUUAACCCAAUCGAUCUACAUUGCUCCAAACAAACACCCUAAAUCCCAACAUAACACAAAAAUAAAAACACAAAAAUAGAAAAACAAUCGAGAUACUCUAAUAAUUCGUAGAAGCUCACGGAGAGAUCUUCGCCGAUGGAGGAGAUCUCCUCUUUCGCCUUUCGCGAGAUCCAAAAGCUCCCCACCUUCGUAAGCGCUUUCUCCAUUAGAGCGAUUCCCCUUUUCUUCGCCCUCUCCUUUGAAUAAAGAGGGUGAGAAGGAGAUUUUUUUUUUUUUUUUUUUUUUUUUUGCCUUUUUUGGUUGAAGAAGCAGAGGCGACGAAGACGACCACACACACCCCAACACCAGUAAGGAGCGUAGCAGCGGCGCUCGCUUCAAAAAGACGCAGUGACAGUGAGAUACUCUCUGCAGUGAAACCAGGAUCGAGUAACGGGGUUGCAACACGGAACAGCUUUUUCCAACAAAUAACUAAAUGACACGUGGCUUUUUAAAGCAGGAUAGGAAAAUUUUUGAACACCGUACUGCGUGUUUAAUGCUCUAUCUCCCGCUCAAGUUUUGUGACUCCUCUUUAAGGGCGUGUUUAGUUUAUAAUUGGAAUAAGAAUGAAAAAUUAAAUUAAAUUGCUUUGGAAUGAAAAAUGAAAUGAUGAAUCAUUCAAAAAUAUUUGGUUUAUUAUUGGAAUGAAAAUUGGAAUGAAAAUUUAAAAUUUUUGAAAGAGAGCUUUGAUUAAGAGAGAGAAAAGUGAUGAAGGGAGAGAAGGUAGGUGUUGAUAAAAAAGGAUUUUGAAUAGUUUAUUUUGGAAUGAGCCAAUACGGGAUUCAAAGCCGGAUUGGAUCAUAAAUGGAUUUGAUCAUUCCCAUUCUGGAGUGGAAUGGAAAUCGGAAUCCGAUUUCUAUAAAACAAACGGCAACUAUCGAAAUCAAUGAAUUCCAUUUCGAUUUCAUAAUCUAAAAUAGGUGAACCAAACAUACCCUAAGAGUGAAAAUGGUUAGAAUAAACUCUGAUUGUAUUUAAUAUCGAAUAUAAAUUUUAAAUUUUAAUAUUUGAUGAAUAUUUAUAUUCAAAUUUAUAUUAAAAAAUAAAUAAAUAUAAAUAUGAUUUUGUUAAAAAAUUGGCUGUAUUUGACUAUUUUCGUCUCUAUUUCUAUUUGAACGUUCCAUUUGAAUCGGAUUAAGGCUUAUUCUAGUAAUACAGUGGCUCUAAGUAUUAUUUUUAUUUGCUAAAAUAUUUAAAAAAUUUUAAGUGUUUUUUUUUAUUUUUUUCUUCACUAUAAAAUUGCAAGUUCAACUGUCAUCAUUAAAUACGUAAUUUUGACCACANUAAAAAAUUUUAACUGUUUUUUUUUUUUUUCUUCUUUAAUACUAUAAAAUUGCAAGUUCAAUUGUCAUCAUGAAAUACGUAAUUCUGACCACAAUUUUAUAGCUCAGAGGAAGAAAUAUUGAAAAUGCAUUUAGAUUUGUUAGGCCGUCAAAAGUUUGGAAGAGAUGGAUUUAGUCUCCCCAUUACUAAAUUAGCUCUAAAUUGUUGAGCUACCCAGCGAGGAGAAUUGUAUAAGGAUAUUUGGUAGGUGGGAGGUUUGAGAAUAAUCAAAAAGUGGCUAUUCCAGAGAUAGGUAUAAAUUGAGGUAUAAGCGGGGAUUAGAUUAUCUUUGCGUUUGGAUGAAAAUUGGGUUAUUUCUGAGAAUAAAAAAAUAGCGUUUGGUUAGAUAAGAUAGAAUAAGAAGGAUAGUAGGUUUUAUAAAUAAAAAGUAAUUAUAUUAUUCUCUUAUUAUAUUUGAAUUUGAAUUUUUAAAAUUUUAAAUUUAUAUUUUUAAAUUUAAAAUUUUAACUUUGAAAUUUUAAAUUUUGAAAUUUAAAAUCUCAAAUUUUAAAUUCAAAAUUUUAAAUUUUAAAAUUCAAACUUUAAAUUUAAGAUCAAAUUUAAAUUUGAAAAAUAUAANAAAUUUUUAAUUUUUAAAAUUUUAAAAUAAAAAUAAGGGUGGGAACAAUUAAUAAAAAUAAUUUAUUAUAAUAAAUUUAUAAAUUUUUUUAAAUUCUACUUAAACUUAAAUUUAAUAAAAAGAAUUUAUUAUAAUAUUUAAAUAUAAUUUAUUAAAAAUUUUAUUAUAAUACUUAAAUAUAAAUAAUAUGUAUUAAUAUAGUACAAUUAAUAAUUUUAUAAUAAAAAUAAUGUAUUAUAAUAUAUAACAUAUUAUAUUUAUUUAAUUUAGUUUUAAUUCAAUUUAUAAUUUUAAUUAAGUUUGAAAUUAAGCAUUGGAAUAGCACUAUUCCAUCAAAAUGGUGGAAUAGCAAAUUCCUUGCUAUUCUGGGAUAAUCGGGAAUAGCAAGGUUUGACCGGAAUAAAAUAUUCCGGCCAAAUUUCACCCCGUUUGGCGGAAUAGCGGGGAUAAAUUUCGUUAUCCCCGCUUAUCCCUCGAACCAAACGGGACCAAAUAUUAUAAUUUUAUAUAUAGUAUGGUAACUAUCCUUAAUUUGAGAAAAAAUUGAAAGACAAUUAGGAAGAUAAACUUGUCUCUCGCUUAAAUUUUUUUUUUAACGGCUGCAUAAAAAAUUAUAAACAAUGUAGGAAUGGUGUCAAUUACUGUAGUUAACCCUUCUUGUGUAGUUUUUGUUUUAUUAGUUGAAUCUAAACAUAUCAAAUUGGCUACCCUAUUUCAAAUUCAUAUACAGCUAAAAUUGCUACCAAAUUAUAACUGUAUGUAAUCAAAUAAUACAUAAAAUCAGUGAGAUGUGAGCCGUCACAAAAUAGUAUCGUACAAAUGCCUCAUAAUAUUGUCAUUCAUACUUUAUAUAUGUAUAACAUCUUAAAUUACAUAUAUAAUUUAAUUAUAAUUUUUUACUAUAUAAAUAUCAGCACAUCAAUAACACAGCCUGCGGUGGAUGCGAAAACAUUAUCCUCACAAAAAAGACAGCCAUUGCUAUUGAGCUUAACGACAUAACCACCGGCGUGCUUGACAGCUCGUCUCGGUGAGGGCGACAGCUAAAUCCACUCUGCAGUCUGAACCCACAACCACAUCGUUGGGCCGAAGCUCGUACCGUUCGUCACCUUGUUUUGUACUACCAAAUUAUUAAUGCAUUAUUAAUAUACUGACAUUUUGAGUAGAACCGACUUAUUUAUUAACUAGUCGACUUCAAACUAGCUUGUGAAAAAUAAGUUAGAUUGUUCAACACGCUACUGAAUAAAAAAUUUUAACUGACCGUCAGAAAAGCAAGUGGCAAAGGGUUUGGUGGUUGGUAUCCGAGACCCAAGUUCGAAUCCUUAGUUGAUUCAUAUUUUCAGCUAAAUUUAUUUCUAAAUAAAAUAAACGAAGCGGGUAGCAUGCUAUCUAUCUCUUAAAAAAAAUUAAAAAAAUAAAAAAAACUAAAAUCUUACUCUAAUAAAUUGAAAUUCACAAAAUAUAGAUCUCGUUAUAUUUGAAUUGGCAUAGAUAUUUGCAAUACAUACGUGUGCGUGUGUGUGUGUGCUUACUCUAAUAAAUUGAAAUUCACAAAAUAUAGAUCUCGUUAUAUUUGAAUUGGCAUAGAUAUUUGCAAUACAUACGUGUAUAUUCGAGUUGAAUACGAGUGACUCGUGCUCGCCUUUGGCUUGUUAGUGUUUUGGACUAAAAGUAUAAUAUGUGUUCAGCUUAUUUAUUAAAUAAGUGAUCUUUCUUUUAGUUAACUUUUCGACUUCUCGUCUUCUAAUGGUCCGUUUGCCAUCAGGGCAGAAUAUUUAAGUAAAUAAUGAAAGUCGGGCUGGUAAGUAAUCUUGAGUUUAUAUCGAGCCGAACAUGACCGACUCAUGACUCAUGAAUAAUAAGCUAGAUUGUCAGUCCUAGUUGUAGGAAUUCGAACACCUCCUCAUAUCUGUAAAGAGAUCAGAAUUUUUGUUUUUGAGAGAUAGGUAGCACGCUACCGAUCUUGUUUAUUUCAUUUAGAAAAUAAACUUAGCUGAAAACAUGAAUCAACUAGAAUUCGAAUUUAGAAUUCCGAAUACCAACCACUAAAUUUUUUGCCACUUGCUAUAGGGUGGAUAAGAAAUCAGAAUUUUGACUUCGGUAGGACGACGGUUCGAGUUCAAAUUUGCAAAAUUCAAGUAUUAACUGUGCUUCCAAACAGUCCCUGGAUUCACUGCUUCCGACGCUUCUGCUUUUCCGCGCAGCAGUAAGUGAGAAGGCGCGAAAACUACAUACUUCGGCGGCUCCGCUCCGUCCUUUCGACCUCUCCGAUCGAUGGCGACGUUCUCUCGACGCCGCGCGCACGACAACGCGGGCGUCCGAUGCGCUGCUUCUCGUUCUUGUUUCCAACGAUGGACUCUUCUCAGACCCAACUCUGCUCCUCCACCUCUCCCAUAAAAAACCUGCUCGGAAUCCCUUGGGUCCGUCCUUUCAUUCCCUCUCCUGCAAUUGGAGGUACUUUUUUUUCUUUUUUUUCUCCUUUUUUUUGAAAUAUCGCUCCUUUUGUAAAUUGUUGUCCUUUGAUUGAUGGGAUUUACAGUAGGUGAUGUGAAAAAUCUGGUUUUGAUUUGCAUUUUAGGAAAGCAUUAUUACUGUACAAUCUUUACCUCUCCAGUACUAUUAAAUUGUUGUUGCAAUCAUUCAGCGUAGAGAAGGAAAAAUUAAAAGCGCUUUUAGAUUUUUUUUCGACAUUUUAUAAUAUAAAAUUGAUACUUUUAGCUCCAACAGUAGUAAAAUAGGUUGUAUCAAUUAAGUAGAGCCUGUUUGGUCUUACUGAAUAACUAAAAGCACGCAAUAUUAAAUAUUUCAAAUAAUUUCUUUAUGCAGAACUAGAAGCGCCAAAUUAGAAAUUUUGCAUUUGAAACUCAAAAAUCUAAUUUUUUUGCCACCUACUGUAGCAAAAGCUUCAGAAUUUUUCCUUUCUCAACCGCGAUAUUACAAACUUUUGCUAAAAGCGGAAGCAGAAGGGGGACCAAGCAGACCCUGUAUUAUAGUGGUAGAGGAGAAAAGCCUAUAUAAAGAGCUAAAAGGCACAAGAGAACAGAUUGUGCAGGUGCAUGUACAUAUGGUUCUGUUUAUUGAAACAUAUCUAUCUUACUCUAUCAUUCUUAAAUAAAAACGAGUUUCUUCAUUAAUUUCUGGGUCUUUGAGACUUUCAUUUAUUAAUUCAACUGGUUCAUGCUGCUUGCUGACUAUAUUUGCACUAAGUUUACUAAUGAUCUCAUGUCGAAGCUAUACGCGAGUCCAUAGUCAAUGUUUGUUUGUGAAUUUAAUGCUGAGGAUACUCGUUCAUAUCGUGUUUUGAUUUCCUUAUUCAAUGUAAUUGCCAAAUGUUAUACUAUAAACCCCUCACUUUCAGGAAGAAGGAAUGGCUGAGAUCAAUUCAAAGCCGUUUGAGUCCGUACAGGCCGCGCUAUCCCUAUUUGAGGAGAAAACUGAUCGAAAGAAGUUCGGCUCAACUGGUAAUGUGGUAAGUGCAUUUCUAAAGGUAGAAUUAUAGUAAAAGAGCUUACUGUUCACAUGUACUCGAGCAUUUUCUUACCUGGUUCCCUUUUCUCGAAUCAUCAGGAAGCGCGGAAGGAGGAGUCGGACAUCUUAUUGAAGGAAUUGGCCAAUUGCAAAGUGCUGCUCGAAAUAAAAGAAUCUUUAAAUAUGCAAUCCAAUCUCAAGCUCGAAGUAUGUCGGAAAACGAUUGAAGAGCUGUCGACACAGUUGAAGAAUGUUGAAGUUGAAAGCGAUAAGUAUGAGAGAGAAUAUUUGAAAGCUCAAGGCCAUAUUGCGAAGCUUGAAUAUGAUAACAAGGUGAUUAAAGGCCAAAUCAUGGAAUUUGAGAGUAAAAAGGAUCACCAUUGUGUUUGCAUGAAAUCUCUGCUCAAUGCUGCCGGCGAAUCAAAAGUUACUGCAUGGGGAGAAAUGUUGGCAAAAACUAUAGAAAUAGAUUAUUUUCAAAUGGAACUGAAGCAAGUAAAAGAGUUGUAUCUAUCAUCUCGAAAUGUUUCUUCGGAUGCAAUUGAUUACUUGAGCCAAACUCAAUCAAAAAUUGAGAUGAUGCAAAUGGAAAACAUUGGAAAUUCAGUGUAUAUGGUGACAAUGGAGGAUGGCAUCAGAAGAAUGGAAGAAGUUCUUCAAAGUGCGAGGCAGAAAAUCGCUGAAUUGAACUGCCAAGUUGAAACUCUCCAAAGAAGUAUGCAGGAAAUGAAUGGUGAGAUGUCUGAGAUGAGGACCAGGGAGCUGGAAUUGGAAGUAGAAAUUGUGCUGCUAAAUACUGAGCUCCACAGAAGCAGGACGCCAAUCGCUGGCGCUGAGGUUGCAGAAGCAAGGUUUAGUAGUGCUCAAGCUGGGUUGUGUCUUGCUGUGCAGCAACUGUCGAUGCAAGCUGAAAAAGCCAAGAGCUUGAAACUUCCUAUAAAUAGUGUCGCUGAUGUGGUGAUCGAUGAUGAGGCAUCUGAAGUAAACCAAGAAGCAGUUGUCCAGAAAUAUUCAGGAAAAGCCAAUGUGCUAGCAGACAUUCCACUUAAGAAUGAUUGCGAACCACUUGUACGUGAACAUAAAAAUGAGACGGAUACCUUAAGAGAAGAGUUGGAAACUGCUAAGGCUGAGAUCAAUGACUUGAGAUUCAGUUUAAAAGAGGCAGUAAGGAGAAAUGGGCUUGCUGAGAAAGGUAAGGCGGCAAUAGAAGACCAACUGAGGAGCUGGAGGAAGCAGCAGCAACAACAACGAAGAUGUGCUUCAGAAGCUAAAAUGGAGCGUAUCGUCACAAGAAAUGUGAAUAUGGUGUAUGCAAAUCCUUCAGCAUAUGAACUAUCUAUCAGCAAGCCAGUGCUUCGUGGGGUAUCUUUACAUGCAAAUCGAAGUGCUUCGUUUGGUAAUGAGAAGCAUUUCAAUUAUGUUCCUCUUGGUAAGAUCCUCAAUAUGAAAUAUUAGUCAUGUCGAUUGUGUGACAUGCCCAAGUUUCAUACUGAAAAAUAUCUCACCACGUGAGUUGGAUUUUAAAGUCAGCUGUUUAGCUUUUUAAACUAGCACGAGUUAUGUUGAAUGAUAAUUUCUUUUGUCCUCAUAAUCUAUUAACUGGUGAUUGAACUUGACCAGCUUUGGAUUCAAAUCUGAUUAGUAAAAUGCGAUCAAUUGAGCAGACAAUUCUUCAGCCAGAUCUACCAAAUAGGAAAUCUUCUUUGUAUUUGACAGUUCUUUUUCUUCUUCUUUUUUUUCAGGGAGAGAUAGAUUUUGGUUAUGGAUUGAGUCUGUUCUGUUGCAAGUCGGGUGCUCAGUUAUACCUCAUAAAAAUGACAUUUUCUUGGGGCUAGUCAUGUCAUGUUAUGGGUGCCUUUCCGUGCUUACUUGACAAGUAGCACAAUUAGUUUUUUUGCAGGAACUUAAAAUGCAUAGUUGCCUUUUCUUCCGCCAGAAGUCCUUUUUUAUUAUUUUUAACACUUCCGAUUAUAAGACUACCAAUGAAACAACUUUUUUUGGACCAAGAUUAAUAAUUCUUAGAUUCGUUGUGUUCUUCUCUUUCUUGCUUCUAAUAUGUUCUCACUCUUAGACCCCAAAAGCAAGGUUUUUCAUCCCCCUUCAAAAUUCUUCAAUAAAAUUUUGCAGCAUUAUCGGUUGUUUUGUAGCAUCCAUAGCUGCCUAUCAUUCUUAGGAACUACUGAUAUCAUGAAAACAAGUUACUGCUAUUUGUCAAUAGUGACUUUCUGAUGAUAGAGAAACGGAUCACCUUCUCCAACAAAGAGAAGAAAUAUGAAGAUUUGUUGCGUUCAAGAUUUAUCUGGAUUUAUGAGAUGGCUCUCUUAUGCAAUGUGUGCAAUAUGAGCAUUAGUACGGCGAGCAACAAUGUAGCUGCUUCCCUGAGAGACACUUAGAUUUGCAAAGCAUACGUGAUUAUGAUUAAGGAGAUGGUUAGAGAUCACUGUUAUAUUAGCCUAACAUUUGUGUUGCAGGUUUGGCUUGGAUUGACCUAAUGUUUUCCGAAUUGCUCUAUCUAUUAGAAGUUGCUUGGAAACGCAAUUGUUGUCACAUGUCAUGGUAGUAGGUGUUCUAAGGAAUUAAGUUGUAAGGUAAAUCUCUAGUUAGAUCAUGCACAAUGGACUGACAUGUUUUCAGAAAAAUGUAAUUCAAUCUCCAACGCAGAAUCGUACAAAUGUAAUCCUCGGUCAGAAUCAUCGAUCCUUGCAAUAUGCUAAAUGAAAACUAGCAAGAAUGGAGAAGAUUUCUACUAAAAAUACAGAAGAUUACUUCCCAAUUGAUGAUCAAGUGGAGAAGGAAGAAAAUGUUCACACUCAAACAAAAUAAUCAGUAUUGUUGAGGAUGCUAUAUUGGCAUCCAAGGCAUAAGCAAAUCACUCCAAAAUGUUAGGCAAAUGUCUCGAGCUUAUUAUCGAGAAGAGAACAUAGAUGAUGCUUUCAUUUUAUUCAAUUGCCUUUCCUUCUUCUGAGCUCUCUUUUUAUAUUUUUUCUGAAACUUUGUUAAUCAGCAGUAUGAAGUGGCAUCAUGGUGUGUUGUGAACAUUUAAUUGCAGCAUUUGGGCAAAAGUAUAACUAUAUUACGCCAAAAAGCUUUGCAUUAUGAAUUUUGUUGGUGCAUGGAUACUUUAAUUUGCCAUGCCUCAUAUUCUCCAGCAUCUUUUGGACACAAGUAGCAACCUCUUGUAUGCUUUCACCUAAGGCAUGUUCUUAUGAUUCUAUGCAGAGGUAGAACAAAAACACUCACAUGGAGAGGAAUCAUUUGCACUAAUCACACACUCAAUUCGCGACAAAUACAAUGAAUAGCACUCUUGUUAGAAGAUCUAAAACCUUUUCUAUGCAGUAUUCUCAAUCAUUUGCUCAUAAAUGAGUUGUCUGUUUCAUUUUAUAUGCCAUCUUAAACCUUGCUUUUCGUGCUGAGAAUGUCUUUUUGUUACCUAAAUUCCUUUUCUUUUUCCUGUUCCUCUCCUGGACUUGGAUUUAUAAUGAUCACUUCUCUGUUGUGAACAUUGACUACUAUAAGCUCAAAUCAAGGGGACACAUUAUCUUUUUCAAUCAUGUGAUCUGAUCAAAUAAUUAGUGCAGGAAAGAGCAUUUCCUUUGGACAUCUGUGCACAUGGGAGUGAGUGUUUUUUAUUACUUAGUUCUCUCUCCAGGGCUUACACUUUCAAUAAAAUUGCCCUUUGAUUGAUCUUACUGUUCUGGUUCCAGGUAAUGGAGUUAGGUCUCAUUUGGUCUCAUUCUGAUGUUGCACAUCUUUACACCCUGUGCUUACCAACCACAUGCAAAUUGAAACAGUGGAUUUUUUUUUUUUUUUUUUAACUUAAUUGUGGGGUAUUUUUGUCUUAAUACUGUGGGAGUUGUUGGGUUGCUUAGAUUCUCCUGUGCUGGUGCACAUACUGUGAAGAGAAUAUAAUCAAUUAAAACUCUUUGAUUAGUAUUAAGAGCAUGCCAAACCUUUGUACCCAAAAAAGGUUGCAUGGUAAUCAAGAUUCCAGUAAUUUUGCACAUGUUUUGUUUAUUUGAGAAGCAGAAACCAGAGUUUCAUGAAAGUGAAAAAUGCCUAGAGCUUCUGACUGAAACAAAAGAUUGUAGCAAAUUUUGGACUCUUAGAGUAGUUUUUAUGUAAAGCUUUUGUUUUUUGGUGUAGAAAAAAACUCGAAUAUAUAGCAACAGUAUUUCUGUAGAAGAUUCAGUAGCAUCAAAAUAGGCCAUUAGCUUUGAAUUUUCAGUGCAAGGUGCGAAAUGUUGCUUAGUUUAUUUUUAGGGUAAACUUCAAAUACCCACUUGUGGUUUCACACUUUCUUACUUUAGUACCCUGUGAUUUAAAGUGUAUCGCGUUAGCUCCUGUGAUUUUGCACUUUCUCACUUUUGUACCCUGUGAUUUAAAGUGUAUCGCUUUUGUACCCUGUGAUUUUGCACUUUCUCACUUUUGUACCAUGUGAUUUAAAAUGUUGCUUAGUUUAUUUUUAGGGUAAACUUCAAAUACCCACUUGUGGUUUCACAGUUUCUUACUUUAGUACCCUGUGAUUUAAAGUGUAUCGCGUUAGCUCCUGUGAUUUUGCACUUUCUCACUUUUGUACCCUGUGAUUUAAAGUGUAUCGCUUUUGUACCCUGUGAUUUUGCACUUUCUCACUUUUGUACCAUGUGAUUUAAAAUGUUGCUUAGUUUAUUUUUAGGGUAAACUUCAAAUACCCACUUGUGGUUUCACAGUUUCUUACUUUAGUACCCUGUGAUUUAAAGUGUAUCGCGUUAGCUCCUGUGAUUUUGCACUUUCUCACUUUUGUACCCUGUGAUUUAAAGUGUAUCAAGUUAGUAUCUUGUGGUUUCAUUUUUCUCCUUUUAUUAUUUAGGGAAAACUUCAAAAACCCCCCUUGUGGUUUCAAUUUUUUUCACUUUAGUAUCCUGUGGUUUAAAAUGUAUCAAGUUAGUACCCUGUGGUUUCUCACUUUAUCACUUUAGUACCCUGUGGUUUAAAGUGUAUCAAGUUAGUACCCUGUGGUUUUGCACUUUAUCACUUUAGUACCCUGUGGUUUUAAUUUGUAUCAAGUUAGUACCCUGUGGUUUUUUAAAUCACAGGGUACUAAAGUGAUAAAGUGUGAAACCACAGGGUACUAAAGUGAUAAAGUGCAAAACCACAGGGUACUAACUUGAUACACUUUAAACCACAGGGUACUAAAGUGAUAAAGUGAGAAAUCACAGGGUACUAACUUGAUAAACUUUAAACCACAGGGUACUAAAAUGAAAAAGUGUGAAACCACAGGGAGGGUUUUUGAAGUUUUCCCUAUUAUUUAUUUUACUAAUUUUUUUCGUUAAAUCAGUGACAAAAUUAAAAUUAAAGGGUAUUAAAGUGAAUAUUCGAUAAACCUAGGUAGGGUAUGUAAAGUUUUUUUGUAUAUAAUUUAGCGAAAUACUAACGGAGGAAAAAACAAUCAGUAGCAAAGUUAAAACUAAAUGGUACUAAAGUAAAUAUCGAUAAAUCUAGAUACGGCAUCUGAAAUCUUUAUAUAUAAUUUAAUAAAAUAUUAAUAGAGGAGCCGACGAAAAAAAAAAAAAAACCACAGGGUGUUAAAUUGAUACACUUUAAAUCACAGAAUAUUAAAGUAAGAAAGUACGAAACCAUGAAAAACUAAAUUGAUAUAUUCUAAACCACAGAAUAAUAAUGUGAAAAAAUGCGAAACCACAUGCGUUAUAUUUGAAGUUUUUCUUUUUAUUUUGGACAAUGCAUUUGGUAACACCCCGUUUGAAAUAGGUACAAGAGGGGGGAUAACUCCUUAUCCCCCUCUUGUACCUAAACACAAUUUGGAGGGGGGUGGAACACUUGGAACAAGGGGUGGAACACUUGUUCCACCCCUCCCGGGUAGAGAGAGAGAGAGAGAGAGAGAGAGAUUUUUAAUUUAAAUUUUAAUUUUUAAAAUUUAUAAUUUAGUUUUUUAAAAUUUAAAUUUAUAAUUUUAAAUUAUAAAUUUUAAUGUUUAAAUUAUAAAUUUGAUAUUUGUAAUUUUUAAAUUUUAAAUUUAAUUUUUUAGAUUUAAAAUUUAAAAUUUUAUAUUUUAUGUCUUUCAAAUUUAAAUUUGAUCUUAAAUUUAAAAUUUGAUAUUUAAAAUUAAAUUUUGAAAAUUAUAAGUUUUAAUUUUAAUUUCAAAUUUAAAAAUUUAAAAAUUAAAAAUUUUAAUUUAAAAUUAUUAGUUUAAAAUGUUAAAUUCAAUUAUAGAGGUAAAAUUAUUAUUUUCUAUCUAUAACUACCAACUAUUCCACCUUAUACUCAAAUUUUCAUCCAAACAUAAUUUUUCUAGUUCCAGCUUAUACUCAUAUUUUUAUCUAAAUAAAAAAAUACUUUUGUUUCUACGAAAAUUCAUUCUUGUACCUAUUUUCGGUAUAAUUAGUUCUUACUUAUAUUCCAACCAAACGGAGCCUAAAAGUACAAAAGGUUUUCAGGGUUUUCAGGCAUUAAUUGAGGAACUGUGUGCAUGCUUUUACUUGUACAAACAAAUUAAAGUAGGCAUUCCUUUUUGACUGGUAAUGUGACUGCAAUUAAAAUGAGAGAGAGAGAGACUUGCUAGCUAAGUAUCAAUGUAUGCACAGAAAUAUCCUUGCAUGUACUGGUGACUUUUUCAUCAUCUUCCACAUUAAAUUCCACAAGCAUCAAUUUCCCAAGUAGAAAAUUGCAUGCCCAUGUCAUGUGUAUGCUAAUUCCUUUUGCCUCAUCUUAAUUAACCUAGCGAGAAUCUUGCGAAAAAAAAGAAAAAAAGAAAAAAAAAGUAUUUAUAAAUCAUUUUCAAUGGUGAAUUAAGAGGAAGUAUAUAUCUACCCAAAAAAUAAUAAUAAAAAUCCACAUGCCAAUUAGUAUUUUAUAUAAAUUCAUUAAUUUUUUUUUCUUUUUGGACCUCCUGUUUGGGAUUGCAAAAAUAAUGUGUUACAAAAAAUAGUUACAUUGUGUAUAUCCUAAUUAAUAGGUUAAGAUAUAAUUUUUUUGCUACCAGUUAUUUAUAUAUUUAUUUAUUUUUGCAAUAAACCUAGGAUUAAUUUGGAAAAAAAAUAUUGACGGCCUAAAACAGCUAUAAAAAUAAAAAUAUUACACUCUUUCGAUCGAUAAAAUAAUUAAUCGGACAUAUUUCCUUUUUUGAUUCUUUUCUCAAAAAAGAUGAUAAAAGUUGUGGCUAUUUUAAUUCUCUUCAAAAAAAGAGUUUAUUUGACACCUAUUAAUGGAGUCCAUACGUAAGCUCAAUGGUGUCAUCAAAUUAAAGUUACAAUCAAGUGUAUAAUAAUUUAAUUAAGCGUACGUUACGGACCUGGAGAUUUUAAUAAUUAAUAAAACGUUAUUGUUGUUGUUUGUUUUAAAAAUGAUAUAUACAUACUCCAAAUUGCUGUAGAUCGAAUCAUAGAAAUAUAUAGAAUACCACGUGGAUCCUUGGACCAUAUCUUAUACAUCAUGCAUGCAAUGUUUGACACGUCUUUGCAUGCACGUGCAAAAGACCAAACAGGGACAUUCUUUGUUUCUCUAGAAAAAGUGUCCCGUGUCACAUUUCCCCUCACACGGACAUUAAUUAAGGUUACGUAAACAGAUAACCAAUAGAAAAAAAUAAAAUUAUAUAUAAUAAAAAUUCUUGUCCUUAGCUAGAAAGAAUAUAUAUAUAUAUAAGAAUUGAAUUUAGAACAUGUGAAAACGAUACACACAAGAAACCAAAAAAUGUGAAAUAUUUUUUACCGUGCAGUUGAAAAAUUAAGAUAUUAUAAAUUAAUUUGCGAAGACUACACAUAAAUUCUCCAUCAAAUAUAGUAAUAGGGAUUAGCUAGUGGACCUACUUUUACAAUAAUACAAAUAUAGUAAUAGAGAAAAGAUAAGUUUUGGUGAAACACAAAUAAACGUAAUUAUAACUUAACCAUAUGUGGUAACUGAACAAAUCACAUGCUCACUAUUAAUUAAUAGAUUAUGAAUGGACACUUUAAGCACUCGUGCACGAUGAGACACGCUAGUUUUCUUUUGAAAAAUCCGAAUAAUACAAAAGAACACACCUGUGACAAAGGACAUAACCAUUGAAAACUUAAAAUAUUAUUAAUUAUAAAAAUAAGCCUAAGUUUUAACAAUUGGAGCGUAUUUAUUAUUAAAGUUCACCAAAGGCCAGGCGAAAAAAACUUAGGAUGAAAAAACAUAUAUGUUUCUCUGUUUUAUUUCCGAACAGGUUGUAAAAAUAAUAAUUUAAUCUACUUAUUGUAAUAUGCAAGUUAUAUAAUUUCAAGAGACAAAAAAACCUUUAUAUUUUCGUAUAUCAUGCUAGGGAUGUGUGUCACACAAUAGGAGGAGUUUUUUUUUGAGGAAAGAUAGCAAGCUACCUGCUUCAUUUAUUGAAUGUAUAAACUAGGCUACAUGGAUGAGACAACUCGGGCCUCGAAGAGCGAUACAACAGUCAUAAAAAAAAAAAAAAAAAAAAACAACACACACACACACGCGCACACACACACACACACUAAAGGACCGAUCGUAAGAGGGGUUUUCAGGACUUCAAAAGCUGCUUAAUCCGUUGUACAAUCAAAACAGGGUCGAAAUGGACGUUUCGAAAGAUCAAAUCAUUCCUGGCCUUCCAAAUGGUCCACCAGCAAGCGACCAAUUCAGGUAAACUAUUUUGCUUAUUAUGUAUCCCUUUCUUGGCCAACCACCUAUCCCAGACGUAACGUGCGUCUUCUCCCAUCUCCCCAGCCCGAACUCCCUCUCGAAUCAUCACCAUACAGAAUUUGAUAACAACGCAUUGAGAGAACAAGUGGUCCACUGUCUUCUCAUAUACCCUGCACAGCACACAGACAGAAUCUCCGAUCCAGCCUUUCUUCACAAGGUUAUCAGCUAUAAGAGGGCUCUUCUUAAGAACCAGCCAACAGAACACUUUAACCUUUAGGGAAAUUUGGAGCCUCUAGAUCUUGGACGCACGUCCAUCCCUCGUACCCCCGAAUAGGAGGAGUUUUAGUUUGUAUAUAUGAGAACGUAACCAAGUGCACACUAUGCUGGUCAACCUAUUGGUCAAUUAGAAUUGCCAUUUUUUGUUUACUUUUUAAAAAAAACAAAAUUGAAAAUUUUGAUCUCAUAUAUAUACACACACACAUCAAUAUGAAUACGCUACUUAUUGAUCAACACGUGUGUGUACAAAGAAACAAGAUUUUUCUCAUUGUAACUAGCAUGUUCAAUUUGGUGACUUCUCAUCUUAAUAAAUUUUUCCUUUUUUUUGUUUUUUAGAGGGGAGAGUCUUAUAGAUGUUCAAAUUGCUAAAUCUCUUGUUGAAGAUUUAAUGUGAAUUAUAUACAUGUAGACAAACACAUUCAUAUUGAAUUAACAUUAACAUACUUUCAUUUUCUCUUAUAAGUGUCCCAUCAAAUAAAAUGGUACACUUGAAUUAUUAUGGUAUUUUUAAUGUACAGUGUGUAUUAUUUUUAUAUUUUGGGUAAAUUUCAAAUACUCUCCAUGGUUUCACACUCUCUCACUUUAAUACCCUGUGGUUUAAAGUAUAUCAAUUUAGCCUCUGUGGUUUCGCACUUUAUCACUGUAGUAUUCUGUGAUUUAAAGUGUAUCAAGUUAAUACCAUGUGGUUUCAAUUUUCUCUUUUUAUUAUCCAUUUCACUAUUUUUUUUCGUUAAAUCAGUAACAAAGUUAAAAUUAAAGGGAACUAAAGUGAAUAUUCGAUAAACCUAGGUAAGGUAUCUGAAGUUUUUUUGUAUAUAAUUUACCAAAAUAUUAACGGAGAAAAAAAAAAGUGACAAAAUUAAAACUAAAAGGUACUAAAGUAAAUGUUCGAUAAACCUAGCUUGGCUAUUUGAAGUUUUUUGUAUGUAAUUUAACGAAAUAUUAACAACGGAGCCGACGAAAAGAAAAAAAAUAAAACCACAUAGUACUAAUUAAAUUGAUGCACUUUAAACCAUAGGGUGCUAAAGUGAAAAAGUGUGAAACCACAGGGUACUAAAUUUAUAAACUUUAAACCACAAAAUAUUAAAGUAAAAAAGUAUGAAAUCACAUAGGUGGUAUUUGAAGUUUUUUUUUAUUAUUUUAUUGUAACACGGGAGAUCAUGAACAAAAAUUCUGUGGGGAGCAGCCACCAAGCAGUUUAAUUUGGGGCUUGGAAAAUUAUUCAAUGCACCUGGUUCACUGCUGUAAAUAUUUUUUUUUCAAAAUUAUAUUUUAUUUUAAUUGAUAUAUAUCAUGAAAAUGCUUAGAAGAUAAUCAAAAUUUGAUUGCAUAGAUAUAAUAUAUAAUGAUAAUACAGAAAAAUAACGAAUUUCAAAUCUAUUAUUUAGAAGUAUUUUAAUCUUAAUUUUUUAAAUAUCAUAAAAUACAAAUUUAUUAUAUUUAAACUAAUAUACGGUGCACUAGGUGCACGAAAUAAUUUUCAUAAAAUACAAAUUUAUUAUAUUUAAAGGUGCACGAAAUAAUUUUUGGGAGAGUAGUGGACCCCUACUUUUGGUGCCACACGGUUCCUAUCCGAGAACAACCCCAAAUUAAACUACUUUGGGUCACCUCCCAUAUAUAGCUCCCAAUUAUCUAUAAAUUUACGAAUAUAAAUAUUAAUUUUUUAUCUUAAAAAAUUAUAAAUAAAUUAGUAAAUAUUUGUUAAAUUAUGAAUAUUUUUAGUGAUGCACAAGUAUCCACAAAUACCCGCACAUAUAUAUAUAUAUNAUAUAUAUAUAUAUAUAUAUAUAUAUAUAUAUAUAUAUUUUAAAUGGGUGAGUAUCUGUAGGUAUAAUGAUCCAUCCGUGGAUUGUCCAAUUCACGCGUUUGGGGGUUCUACUCCAAACACAACAGUGUAUAUAAAAGACACUUCUAAGUUUUUCUUCUAUUUAGAAUAAUAGCGAAUGAUAAUUCUUAAUUAUUAUUAUUAUAGUAAUUUGAGCAGGUGCAACUCCCAAACCUAUAAACAUCUAGAGGACUUUGAAACUGAUAGUAGUUAUGAUCAAUUCAAAGCUGAUGCUUCAGUUGAGCACCCAAUUCAAAUCCUACUCAACCAAUCCAUCCAAAAAUUUCCAAGCAUGUAUAUCAUGUGUUCUUUCUUCUUAAUUUACUUGUCUUUUUCCAUUCAUUUUGUUUCCUAGCUAGAUAAGUGCCAAAUUAAGCUGGGCCCUAUGUGUGUAAAUUCAAUCGCGUGUUUCCUGAAAAUUGUUGUUUAAUUGACCUUAGUCUAUCACAUUAGCAUGGAUUCAUGAAUGACCUGUUGUUCAUUCCAUUCUUACUUAUAAUCUUAACAGGUCGGAGGUUAAUAUGAAGGAUUGUUUGGUUCAAAGUUUGUGACAUUCUCACAAAUAUUUUAUGUUCUGAAUAGUAAAUUUGCUAUUAACUUAUUAAGUUACUUGAGUUGAGUGAUUGUUAAAAAAUGGUAUAUUUGGAAUGACAAUUUAUGAUUUUGAGUAUGGAAAAAAGAAUACCUCCAAAUUUGUGGUAAUCUAAUAUUUCUAUCAGAUGAAAAUUUAUAAUUAUUAUCGACCGUCCCUAGAGUAAAUGGUAAAGGGCUUGAUGGUUGGUACCUGAGGACCCAAGUUCGAAUCCUAGUUGAUUCACAUUUCUAGCUAAGCUUAUUUCUAAAUGAAAUAAAACGAAGCGGGUAGCGUGCUAUCUAUAUCUAAAAAGGAAAAAAAGAAAAAAAAAAUUUACUAUUAUUGUCUAUAUAUUAAUCCACUUCUUCGAAAGAAAUUCUCUAGAAAUGUCCCUUUUUUUUAAAAAUAAAAAUAAAAUUAGUGCAUGAUGCGUCGACUGAAUUAUUGUGCAAUUAGAAUAAUAGUUGACUAGUUGAUUGGUUGAAUAGUAUAAUCUAAUAGGUGAAAAUGAUUAAAAAUGUUAGAUCUAACGACGAAAAAUUUAUAAGUAUUAAAUGCUUGGUGUUUUUAUAAGUACUAUAACCGGACUAUAUACAGAGAGAGAGAGGGACACACACACAUACGACUAGUUUCUUUUAAAAUUUUUUUGAAUGAUGCAUGCAUGCUUGUUCAAAAUAAAUGAAAAUAAUAAAACUAUGCUUAGAAACACCCAUUUGGCAACUUGUUUUGGAACAUAAGCAAUUAAUUGUGUGGUCAAAGAAUCCGUCAGUACAACAAAAACGGUCUAUAGCGACACUUUUAAAUGUAGGUACAUAUCAAAAAAGUACUGCUAGCUAAAAUUACCGACACUUUUAAAAAGUGUUGCUAUAUGUGGGGUCGCUAGGUAUAUAGUGACAGUUAAAGAGUGUCGCUAUAACCUAAAAGAGUGCUGCUAAUUUACCAACACUUAUUUAAGUAUUUAACAACCGCCGAAACUCUAUCUCGUUGGCUGCGGUGGCGGAGGAGAACGACAGGAAAGGCUCUUCGUCUAGAAUUUCAGUGGAUUGAGUGAAGAGAGAAGAAAAGAUGGUAAUUGAUUUUUUUUGUUUUUUUCUUUUCUGUUUGUAAUCGGGCCAAAUGGACUGGGUGUGGUGGGUUGAGUAGAGUAAUCUUUUAUUUUUUGUUGGAUUGGGCUUUAAAUUUAGGCAUUAGUAGAUAUUUUUUUUAAGUUUUAACCUAGUAAUUUUAGAAUCCUACGGUUGGAAUUUCGGCCUCUUAAUUCAAAAUGUGAGAUCCCAAAUAAUUUUAUAUAUAAAAUAUAAUAGAGCAAACAUUUUUAAUCUGAUUAUAGCGGUUUAGGUGGUGGUUAGCUUCAAGAGAUUAAGAGAGUUAAAUAUAUUAGGGCUAUAGUAAUCCUAUGAUAGAUAACUCUAUGAAAAAUGGAGCGUUACAUAAAGAAUAUAUGCAUCAAUAUAUAUUUACAUAUAUAGCUCCAUUUUUAUGUUUGUAAGACGAAAAAAUUUUUUUUUUAAAAAAAAUAAAUAUUUUAUGUACCAAUAAAUUUGAGUUAUUAGCCCCCGUUUGGUUCGGGGUUAAGAAAAAGUAGCUAUUCCAGGGAUAGGGUUAAGUUCAGGGUUAAAAUGGUGUUAAAAUUUUUUUGUGUUUGGUUGGAGGUUGGAGUUAGUCUAGGAUAGUAAAAAAAAGUGUUUGGUUGGAGUAGGUGGGAUAAGAAGAUAAUGAUUGAUAAAGAAGAAAAAUGUGAGAGCUCGGGAUGCGUGCGGGGUUAAAGUUGGGAGGGGGAGUAGGAUUAGUAAACCCCACUAACCCGAUUUGGGGUGGGGUUUACUAACCCCACCCUAAAAGAGUGGUGUUUGGGUAUAAAUUGGGGGUUAAGGGGUUAUUCCACCCCUUAACCCUAAUACUUAUGUCAUUUGUACUACUGUUGUCGUUCUCUCUCACAAAUAGGUGAAAUUUUUUACCAAAAGUACAGUUUGUGAAAUUAAAUAUAGAAAUUAAAUAAGACUGGUAAUCCAUCAAAAAUUUGAACUUCAAAAAUCAAAUUUUAUGUUUUGAUAAGAUAAUCGGAAUUCAAACUUAUGACCUUUAGCUUCAUACCACGAAAAUAUAAUUGAUUUGUUUUUUUUUUUUUUUUUUUUGAGAAAAAGAUAGUACGCUAUCCAAUAUAAUUGAUUUGUUAUUAAUGAUAUGGUGCAAGUGUAACGCAACAGAUUUUUUAAGUUGGGUCAGAAACAAUGGAUGAAACCGUGCAAGCUGUUACAUCAAAAAUUUACUCAAAAACACAUGUGAAAAGUUAUGGAUGGGAAAAGAACAAAUCAGAACCCCACAUCUUCCAACCCCCAAAAUUGGUCAUAGAAGUUGCUUUCUUUGACCAAAUGGCAUCUCUCUUCCAAGUAAUAAAGUGUUCAUGGGACUGAGUACUAACCAACUUAAUCUAAUUGCAACUGUCCCUGGAGCAAGUGAUAAAGGGUUUGAUGGUUGGUACCCGAGAUUCAAGUUCGAAUCCUAAUCGAUUCAUAUUUUCAGUUAAGUUUAUUUCUAAAUGAAAUAAACGAAGCGGGUAGCAUGCUACCUAUCUCUCAAAAAAAAAAAAAAAACUUAAUCUAAUUGCAUGUUUGGAAACCAAAUCCAAAUCAAAAACAGGGUUUGUACUUUGUAGGGAGGAUUGGAGAGUAAGCAAAUUAAAAGAGUUUUUGGUAAUUAAUUAACCUCAGAGGGGCUGGAGAUAACCAUGCUUUGUGUCCUUUUCUUUGAACAACGAAUUUCGCAACAAAUGCUGCUCAGAGAAAAUGACACUCCAAAUAUCAUAAGACAAGUUAACAAUAUCGAUAUUCAGAGAAUCAUAUUAUUCAGCUUGAAUAUAAUGUGUUUUGAAUAGGUGUUUUGAAUCAUUCAGAUCUAAAUCUUACUUCAUGUGGAUCAGUUGUAGCUUAGUAUGCGAAGGAAAACAACUUUUCUCUAACUUAUAUUUCAAUUGUAGAUUGUAAAAAUUUUUGGCUCCCUUAAAGAAAAAUCAAGACACUGUUCAAUUAUGUGAUAAUCUUUUUUUUUAUUAUUAUUGUUAAUUAGAACUGUCAACAAGUCGAACACGAGCAGUGAAGUUGGGACAACUCAAAUUUUUUUUAUUUUUCAAACUAAUUUUAUGAAACAACCGUUGUACUCGACAUGGGCUUGAAUUAAAUGGGAGGAAAUUAAUAUGCUAGGAGCCUGAGGUGACUCGAACUCAGGACCUCCUGCUCUGAUACCAUAUGAAACAAUCGUUGUACUCUAAAAGCUUAAGCUAUUAGAUAACGGUGUUUUAAAUAUUUUUAUAUUUAACAAAUUUCGAGGCGAAUGUCAGCUGGCUCGCGAACAGCGAGCUAGAUUGAUCGCCGUAAUUACUAACAAACAGUUCAAUCAUGCGACUCAAAGAUAUUUUAUUUCGAUCAACAAUUUCAUUCUUUUGAAUCCACCAAUAAAUUAACCAAAACUUCGCCCUCAAUGUGAAAACAAUCAACAAUUCCGGCCUCGAUUUAUUUAUCGAGAAUUUAGAAUUGAUUCUCACUUUUUUAAAUUCCAAUUUCCACACAGCCCACGAUUGGUUAAACAUUAAUUGAUCUAGAAAGCUUUUAACCAGUUGUGGAGGCGAGCCUAACACCCACAUGUACUAUUCUCAUUUCCCCUCUACCUCAACAAAUAUUUUAGCCUGCACCUGAUGCAUUUGUAUAAUCAUAUACUGAUAUAUAACUUGUUAGAUGUGAUUCGAAAUUGGUAAUCGACUUCAGUUUAGAAUUUCGACUCGUCGACAGUUUUGCGGUGCGACAUUUGAAAAUAAAUUUAUGAAAAAAAAGUGAAUGUCUAUAAUAGAUAAUGAAGGACUCUGCCCGUGCGGUACGGAUCGGAUCCAAAAUCUGUUAACCUUUUUCGUUUUUGGCAUAGAGGCGACAGAUCUUGGUUGCAGGUGAUGGUCGGAGGAAAAUUUUUCAACAAUAUUUGAUGUAGGACAUUUAGGUGAAAUUUAAUAAGAUAAUGAAUUUGAAUUCCAGAUGAAAAACUUUGGUAGAAUUAUAGAGAGCGAAGCUUUCGAUCUCUCAAAACUGGUGGAGGGGUUACGAAGAAGAACAAUUUUUUUUUUUUUUUUUUUUUUAAGGUCCGAUCGAUGGCCAUGUACGGAUGUACUGAUGCACCGAGUGCAGCUAAAGUUUUUCCUAAAUUUUGCACGGAAAAAUAGCCCAAAAGCAACCACAAUUUGGUCAACAAGGGCGGCCCUCCUUCUCAAAGAACACCUAAAAAUCAUGGAGUCAAAUUAGACCAUAAUUACUACUGGAACCCAAAAUUCAACACAACUCAAAAAUAUCAUAUGCACAUGCAUUACUCGCGACAAAGAAUAGCUUGAUUAUUAAAUUAUCGCUCAUCCACAAAAGCUACGUAAUUAAUCUUAGUGCUUUUAUAUCCGUGCUAAUUCUCAUUUGUUCAGUGCGAAGUACCAUAAAACUAACUCUGUUAAGAGCGAGAAAGAAAAAAAGAAAGAAAGAAAGAAAGAAAGAAGAAGCGAAAACAUUUAUUUAUUCCUAUUCUUCGUGAUCCCCUCUCUCUCUCCUCCAUGAUACAAGCUGGGAUAUGUCGGAAGAAGCAGCCACUAUUCCAACACUUAUUCUCCUCAUCUUAUCCUCAAUUCUCAUCACCGGUAUUGUUGUCGCUCCAUCUCUCUUUUUUCUAUCUACGAAUUUCGCCUGAAUGAAUAAUCUCUCACACUUAAUAAUUCCACCGAUAUGCAACAGGCCAUGUUAUAGAAGGGUUGAGCGACAAAGUAGUGAUCGCCCAGCUCAAGCAAUUCCUGCAAGAGCACAACCCGAUAAACCGCGGCGGGUACGCCGAGUGGGACGUGUCGGAGCCGACGCCGUGCAACUGGUCCGGCAUCAGCUGCGACGGGGCCACGAAACGCGUGGUCGGUGUCGACCUCUCGUCGUCCAACAUCUCCGGCCCCGUCUUCGGCAACUUCUCCCUCCUCACUGCGCUCGCGCGCCUCGACCUCUCCGCCAACACCAUCGACGGCACCCUCCCCGCCGACCUCAACAGCUGCCGCGGCCUCCGCUAUCUCAAUAUCUCGCACAACCUUAUUUCCGGCGUGUUGAACGUCUCCGGAUUGGCGAAUUUGGAGAUUCUGGACGUUAGUCUCAACCGGUUUGAAGGCCCGAUUGCCGUCAACUUUCCCGCGGGUUGCGCGAGUCUCUCUGUUCUGAAUGUUUCGACGAAUAAGUUCACCGGCGAGAUCGCCGGCGUGUUCGACGAGUGCGAGCAGCUCCGGUAUCUGGAUUUGAGCUCGAAUCAUUUUAGCGGUGAGAUAUGGCAAGGGUUCGAUUCGCUCCGCGAGUUCUCCGUCGCGGAGAACAACCUAACCGGAGAGAUACUCCCCGGCGCCUUCACGGCCAACUGCGCCCUCGAAACGCUGGACUUGUCGGACAACAGCAUCUCCGGCGCGUUCCCGAAUUCGAUCGCGAACUGCUCCAAACUGAAUUUCCUGAGCCUGUCGGAGAACGGCUUCGGCGGCGCGAUCCCCUCCGGCAUCGGGAAGCUCUCUGAGCUCGAAAGCCUAUUCCUGGGGAACAACCGGUUUGCCCGCGACGUCCCGGAGGAGCUCUUGAACUGCAGCAAGCUAGUCUUUCUCGAUCUGAACGGUAACAAUUUCGGCGGCGAGGUGCAGGUGAUCUUCGGGCGGUUCGUGACGGUGAAAUUCUUGGUCCUGCAUGGAAACAACUACACCGGCGGCAUCGAGAAAUCGGGAAUCUUAAAACUUCCGGAAGUCAGCAGACUGGACCUCAGCUUCAACAGCUUCUCCGGGCCAUUGCCGGCAUCGAUUGCCGAGAUGCGGAAGCUGAAAUUCUUGAUCCUAGCAUACAACAAUUUCACCGGCAGGAUCCCGGCGGAGUACGGUAACAUCGCGGGGCUGCAGGCGCUGGACCUGUCGUUCAACGAGCUGAGCGGGGAGAUUCCGCCGUCGAUCGGCAACCUGACGUCGCUCCUCUGGCUGAUGCUCGCCAACAACCAGCUGACCGGCGGCAUCCCGCCGGAAUUGGGGAAUUGCACCAGCCUGCUGUGGGUGAACCUCGCGGGGAACCGCCUGGCCGGCGUCAUCCCUCCGGAGAUCGCGAAGAUGGGCCGGGACCCGGAGCCGACGUUCGCGACGAACCGCGAGGAGACGGGAGUCGCCGCGGGGUCCGGGGAGUGCCUGACGAUGAAGCGGUGGCUGCCGGCGAAUUACCCGCCGUUCAGCUUCAUGUACGCGGUGAUGACGCGCAAGAGCUGCCGGACGACGUGGGACCGGCUGCUGAAGGGCUUCGGAAUCAUCCCGGUGUGCCUCAACACGUCGUCGCCGGUCUGGACGCUCGCGAUAUCCGGCUACCUGCAGCUAUCCGGCAACCUCCUCGCCGGCGGCGUGCCGCCGGAGAUCGGCGGGAUGCGGAAUCUCAGCCUGCUCCACCUCGACGACAACCGGCUGUCCGGCGGACUCCCGCGGGAGGUCGGGGGGAUCCCCCUCGUGUCGCUCAACGUGUCUAACAACCGCUUCUCCGGCGAGAUUCCGUCGGAGCUCGGCGGAAUCCGGUGCCUCGAGAUCUUGGAUUUGUCGCGGAACAACUUCUCCGGCGAAUUCCCGGCGAGCCUGAACGCGCUCGCGGGGCUCAGCAAGUUCAACGUCUCGUUCAACCCCCGCCUCUCCGGCGUCGUCUCGUUGACCGGCCAGAUGGCCACCUUCUACCUCAACUCCUUUCUCGGCGACCCCAACAUUUCCUUCUCCUCCCCCGCCGGAGGAUCGCCGGCGCAGCCGCCCCGAGGCGGCGGCGCCGCCGCCGCCAGCAGGAGGGCGGCGAGGAAGGUGGCGUUCUGCGUCUUCGUCGCCCUCACCUCCGCGAUUCUCACGUGCGGAAUCAUUUCGUUCGUCCUCUGCCUCGGAGUUCGGACCCCGGUGGGCCCCGGGCCGUAUCCCGAGGAGCACCUCGUCAAGCAGAGGAGCCAUAAGGCGUGGUCUCCGGCGUCCGUGUCGGCGGCGGGGUCAUCGUCGCGGCCGUCGGACGGGAUCCGGGUGUUCCGGCUGGACCGGACGGCGUUCACAUACAGCGACAUCGUGACGGCGACCGGGAACUUCUCCGCGGACCUCGUGAUCGGGAGGGGCGGAUACGGCGUGGUGUACCGCGGGGUGCUCCCCGACGGGAGGCACGUGGCGGUAAAGAAGCUGGAAAGGUGGGGCGACGACGGCGGCGGAGAAGGGGAAGGAGAGAGAGAGUUCCGGGCAGAGAUGGAGGUUUUAGCUGGCCGGACCGGGGCCGGUUGGCCCCACCCGAACCUGGUGCCGCUCUACGGGUGGUGCCUCUACGGCUCGGCGAAGCUGUUGGUCUACGAGUACAUGGAAGGCGGGUGUUUAGAAUCGGUGAUCGCCGACUGGGCCCUGUUCGGGUGGGAGCAUCGGCUAGAGACCGCCGUCGGUGUGGCGCGUGCUUUGGUGUUUCUGCACCACGAGUGCCGUCCGGCGGUGGUGCACCGGGACUUAAAGGCGAGUAAUGUGCUGUUGGAUAGCAGGGGCACGGCGAGGGUGACGGAUUUCGGGCUGGCACGGGUGGUGGGGCCCGGGGAGACGCACGUGAGCACGGUGGUGGCGGGGACGGUGGGGUAUGUGGCGCCUGAAUACGGGCACACGUGGCAGGCAACAACGAGGGGGGACGUGUACAGCUACGGGGUGCUGGCGAUGGAGCUGGCGACCGGGCGGAGGGCGGUGGACGGCGGGGAGGAGUGCUUGGUGGAGUGGGGCAGGCGGGUGGGGCGGGACGAGGCGGUGGCUGAGAUCGCGGAGGGAAGAGAGCAGAUGUGGGGUUUGCUAAGAGUCGGGUUGAAGUGCACGGCAGAAGCGCCGCACGCGCGACCGGAUAUGAGGGAGGUGCUCGCCAUGCUGCUCAGCAUCACUGGUGGCGGCAGCGGCAGCGGCAGCGGCAGCGACUGCAGCAGCAGCAGCAGCAGUAGCAGAAGCAGCAGUGAAUGCAGCAGUGUAUGUGAGCAUGUUUGAUUUUUAUUUUUAUUUUUACUACAUUGAGUUUUCUUCACAUCCAAUUCUCAUACCCAAUCAGUAUAUUCUUGAGUGUACAGAUUGCAGGCUGAUAAUUUGUGCUGUUCAUAGAUAGAUUAAGUUUGACCUCUUUUUUUUUAAUUUUAUUUUUGGAGUUAUACAAUACAUUAAAGCAUUGAUCAUUACAUGUAGUAAAAUGCUCUUUGAAAUUCAUAGCAUUGUUAAUGACAAUUUUGAAUUCUUUGAGAUCAGUGUGUAAUUUGGAUUGGGUUGCUUCCUCUUAAAAUGUAUCAUCCAACUACUUUGUCUCCAUGUAAUUCUUUUUUUUUUUUUCUUUUUCUUUUUUUUUUUUUUGGUCUUGCCAUUAGCUGGAUUUGAUAUAGUUAUGAUUUGGUUUAAAAAUAAGUUUGUUGAGAAUAGAAAUAUUAGUUUUGUCAUCUAUUAUCGGUAAAUAGAUAUAGUCUGAAAUCUUUGAGAGCAAACUUCUUUUGAAAUAGUCUAUGAAUAUUUCAAAAUCUAGUUUAUGACUAGAUGCUGAUUGUUUCCGACAUUUUGCUAAUUGAUAAUAAAAUUAAUAGCUCUCACUAAAUUUAAUUUUUAACCAAAUUAAAAUUACGCCAAGCCAAAUUACAAGGAAAAUAAAAAUUUGUGUAAUUUGUAUUUGCCUACAUUCCAUUACGUACAAGAAAGUACUUGAAGCCUGUCAAAAUAUUACUUAUUGUGGAGAUGUUGGUAAUUUUAUAUGGCGCUCUAAAAUAUGUGUAUAAACUAAUUAAAUUUUUAUAUAUUAAAAAGAUGUCCGAAAUAUCCGAUAUUCCAUAUCCAAUCCGGACCCUAUCCGGACCCGAACCGGAUCCGAACCGGACCCGAUAAAAAAUGAAUAGUAUACGGAUAAAAAAAAUUACCCAUUAAAGUUUCGGGUAUGGGUCCGAAUAUUUUAUACCCAUACCCGAUUUAGACCCGACCCGAACCUAACUUUUAAAUGGAUAGGGUCUGGAAUAGUUUUCAAAUCCGGAUCCGGACCCGGACCCGAUGAAAUAUCCGAUAGUAAAUAAAAAAAAAUAAACUUUUGAAGUUGAAGGAUCAAUUUUAAUAUGACUUAUAGAUGAUGAGUCACUACGUAUUUUCAUCCUAAUGAAACCCUAGCCGUCUCUUUUACUCAUUACUUUUUUCUAAUUUUUUUACUCUUUGUUUUCUACUUCUUUUUUUUCAUUUCAUUUCCGCCAAUAAUAUUUGAUUGUCAUCAUCACUAUCAGUAUCAUCAUCAUCAUCAGCGAUAAUAUUUCUUUUGAAUAAAUUUUAUUGGACGGUACAACUUAUUAGAAUGCGAGUUUUUUUUAUGGUAGGCUUUAUAGUUUGUCUAUUGACUAUUUAAUAAAGUUUAUAAAAAAAUAUAUGUUUAUACGAAUAUCCGUACCCGAUUUAAACCCGAUUCAUAUCCGGUCUUGAACGGGUAAUAUACGGGUAGUCACUACCCAGACCCGCUCAAAUAGACCCGAUGGGUAUAUUAGUAACUUUAGUACCCAGAUCCGGACCCGACCCGAAGUUAAAUGGGUAGGGUAUAUAUAUUUUUUUAUAACCAUUUCUUUUUAGGGUAUGGGUACAGUAUAUUAAUUAUCCAGAUCCGACCCGGUCCACGGACAUCUUUAAUAUUAUAAUAUCAACGCAUUAAUAAUAUAAAAAAAUAAUAUUAUGAAAGACAUGUAGUGGUGCCCAUUUUGAGUACUACUAAUACAUUUUGCCUCUUUAGCUGAACUAAUCAUUGUCAUCAAUUAAGCUUUUGAUUUUGUAAAUUUCCAUCUUUUUUUAAGAAUAUAAUUAUAGAUAUUCUUGGUUUUUGGUUCCCUGCAAAUUCUUCUGCCACUCUCUUUUGUGGACUAUUUGUUGUUGGAUGUUAAUUUACAGAGCUUAAAGUGCAGCUUAAUCUAUUUAUAAUCCUCCACUCCUUGUAUAUACUCAAACGCAAAUUUUUCCCUCUAUGAACACAAUCCUUUUAGUGUGUAAGUUUUGGAACUUCCAUUAUUCUAACUAUUUUUUUUAAGAGGAAUGGUUUAAUAUACCGGCUAAAUUAAAUCUAGCUGUUCAUAUUUUAAGGAUAAGAUAUUGACUUUUAGACAGUAAUAACUUACUCAAUAGGUCACCAUUCAAGUUCAAUAGUAAGGAUAAUAUUAGAAAAUAAAUAAUAGCGAAUUACCAAAUUUGAUAAACCCUAAUAAAUAAAUAUUCAUUUCCUUAUUUAAUUUUGUUACUUACCAAAUUAGAUAGUGGCUAAUUCGAUAAGUAAUAAACCUUUAUAAAAUUGAAUUUAAAAUUUAAUUUGAGCUUAAACUUUAUAAUUGUAUACAUUAAAUUCAAAUUUAAUUUCAAUUAUAAUUUUCAUAAAGAAAAAAAUUAUGUUUAAAUGAGUAGUACAUUUCAAUUCAAAUUGUUAAUGUAAUAUUAAAAUAACAUGAAAGUUCAAAUAUAUUAACUUAUUUUAAAUUGUAAAUUAUGUUGUACUUAUAAACCCAACUUUUAUUAUUUAUUUAAAUAAAAGGCUUCUAUUUUUAAAAUUAAAUUCAAAUUGUUUAUCCAAUAGUGAAAACAACAUUACAGUUCAAAAAUAUUGAUUAAAAUUAAAAUUAAAAUUUAGAUUUAAUUUAUCUUAUUGUUAAAAAAAUAAAUUUUGUUAACUAUUUAAACUAAAUGUUUCAAUAUUUGAAAAUUAACUUUAUAUUAUAAAUCUGAAUUUAAUUUUAGCUAUUAUAAUUUCAAAUUAUCUUUAAAAUGGUUUUUAACUUGUUUAAAUAAUACAUUAAAUUGAUUUGAUUUGGAUCAUUUGACUUGGAUCAUAAGUUCAAUUAAAUGGUUUUUCCAGAGUCUAAAAAAUCACUUUGUGCUCAUGCAAAGUUUAGCGCAUUUUUGACUUUGCAACCACAUUAUUCUUUAAAACAUUUAUUUUACCACCUAUUUUGACAUAAGAUUUUUUGAUAAAAUAACAAUUAAAUUAAUCAGGUUAAUAUUACACUGGUUGAGCUAUCCAAUCAAAUAAUCAUAACUCGAACAGUCAACUUCGGAUCGACUAUCCAUGUUCAAAAGUUAAAAUAUCAAUAUAUUACAUUCUUUCUAAUUGAAUUUUAGUUUUGACCAUCCAAUUUCAAUUUAUUAAGAGUUUUGUCUCGAAUUUUGACCACAUCAACUUCAACUCAUCUUUCAGCCAUCUAAAUUGAAGCUAGCGUGAAGCUCGAUGCAAUAAUCUAAAAAAUUUGAAUAAAGUUGGACAACCAAAGAAUUACGUUUCUUAUAAUUUGAGAAUAAAGUGUGUAAUUUAUGCUGGAACUUGCGAAUAUUAUAAAAAUUUAAUUUAUUUUAAUUAAGAUAUUGAACUGAAUUUAUUAGAACUAUUGAUCACAAAGUCAAAUACAAAAUUUUUUAAGCAUUCACUUGGGGGUAAUAUUUCAUAUUCAAUUACUAUGAGAUUGCAUAAUAUAACUUGUCCGUUGCAAUAUUUUAUAUUUGCACAUAAUUUUUGAUGCAAAAAAAUUUAAAAUUUGCGACAAAUUUAAAAUUUUAUUUCAUAAUCAAAUCAUACAAAUAAAUUUAAUUACAAAUUAUAAAUAUAGAUUAGNAGCUAUUACUUCAAAAAGGAAAGCAAAAUGGACAAAAAUGGAAUGGAAUGUUCUAUAUUUACUAAGGAGCCGGCAUUAUGGGAAUAGAAUAAAAAUUUACCAAAAAGUUUUUGAUACUAACUUUACAUAAUAAAAAAAUAUUUUGCCCUCGGUAAGAGUGUGACUGGUAACUAAUACAAUCAAAAUCAAUCACCCUCUUAAAUAAAAAGCAUCCUCACCAUCUAUUUUAAAAAAUUUAAGGACUGAAAUUUGUUGAUGUAUAGAAGCGUUGCUCUUUUUUUAAUAAUUAACAACCACUAGCUUUAGCCCAGUUGCUGUAUUAGUUUGAAAAUUUAAUCACCAUCUGUUUUUUUAAAAAAAUAUAUAUUUAGAGAGACCGGAAAAAAAAAAAAAAUCGGUCAAUAACUUCAAAAUUAAAAAGAAAAAGAAAAACUUUCACGUGACCCUCGUGAGGUGUGGGAUAAUUCCAUGUAAGUGCGUAGUCAACAUUUAUAUUUGACUUCGGAGCUCGGUCUUAUCCAAUCCACUCAGGGCAAUGGACGGUUCGGAUUGAUCUGCGAGUGGAGCAGCAGCUCGAAGAUCAGCCGUCCAAUUCUCUUGGCUUCGAAGAUUCCACAUCGUCACCGAAAAUGCACCAGUGGCCACAAAUUCCAAUCGUCGUGGUAACCUCACUACCAAGACACGUGUCGUGUCCCUAUUGGUCCACCUCAUAAAGCCACAAAAGUGAACAUAUUCCCUUGCUAAAGCUUAUGGCGGAGCUUCAAUGAAGCCCCAGCUCUUUAAAUUUCUCCUCUCCAUUUCUCUUCUCCAUCACCACCCCCCCCAAAAAAAGGAAAAAGAAAAAAAAAGAAAGAGAGAGAGAGAGAGAGAGAGAGCUUAGUGAGCUUAGUGGGUAUGGAGGCCUCUUGUUUCUUAACUUCAAAAUCGUUCAACAAAACCCUAGAUUUGGUUCCCUCUUUGAAGCCUAAGUUUGUGUUCCUGCACAAGAAGAGGCCCAAUCAAGGGUUUUAUUACGGAUCUGGUGGAGGAGCUUCUCAUUCAUUUACUUGUGAGUGCCCAAAAACUCUCGCUAAGGUUUUUUUUUUUUUUUUUAAAGAUGAAGGAUGGAUUCUUGUUGAAUUCCAAUGUUUUCGGAUAUUUCGAAUUGUUAAAUUUUGUUGAUGAAUUGUUAAUUUUGAUAUCUCGAUAUUCUCAUUGCCGAGGAAAAGUUUAUAUUGAUUCUAAAGUAGAUGCAGCAUAGAGGGGCCAAAAAAAAAAAGGGAAAAAAAAAGAAAAAAAAAAAAGAAGAUGCAUUGCACCUAGAGGCGGCUUGCGGAGCAUGUUAAACUUUAUAAGAAAUUAAAUUCAUACAUUCUGCAAUAAUUUUAAUUUUUAUAUUCGGAUUGUAAACGGCGACUUUUGCUUAUAGUUCAUUCUCGUUCACGAUAUGCAAACAAAACAAGUGGAACGUUUCGAGUCCAUUCUCCUCGAAGAUGGAUCCAUUGUAGAAAAUUAGAAUUAGGAUUAAACCACAACUCCCACGUGUUAUUUAUUUAUGUAUAGCUUAAAUGUAAAGUUAUUAAAUUACGCUUGUCCAUCAAGAACAUUCUCAAAUGCAUUAUAACUGUUGGAUCUACUGUAUCUUUAUAGAUAGUUUAAAAUAGAUUGACUCUAUCUUUAUAGAUGGUCUUAAAUAAAUCAUAUGGGCCAUAUCCAACAGACCACAGUACUCGUGAGUUGGAAUUAUAACAACCUAGUGCAGUAAGAUAAAUAAUUUAUCACUUAAAUUUAAUUAUUAUUACUAAAGUAUUUAGUACUUAUGUAAUCUACGCCUACUUUUCUGUAUUAGUCUUUGUAAGUCUAUUGGUCGUGUUGCACGAAUUCUAGUAGGCUUUUGGUGGAAGAAAAUUUUUGUAUGGAGGCUGAAAAUGUUAGGCUUAAUAGUGGGCUGGUAACCUCAGAAGCCGAGCUAUACAAUUCCGACCAAAACCUGAAAGCACUUUUCAAUUGCAGCCGAUUUGUCUUUGAACUCUUAGGCUACGUUUGGGAUUGCGGAGAGAUUGCGUUACGUGCGGUAAGAAACGACGAUAAAAAUAUAUCCUUGUUUGUUUUCGUACGUAAUGUAUAUAUUUUCUGCGGUCCUAUCGGAGAACGCAUAAGCAUAUCCUUAUAUGCUUUUUCUCAACUCCAUUCUAUCUAAUAGCGUUAGAUCCGCCUCAAUACCAAACUAAGCCUUGUACAGCACAAAUUUGGACCACCGGGCCUAAGAUGACAAAGCUGUUUUAUUUUUUUUCGUAAUGUUUUAAGAAAUUCAGUUUACAUAGAGACAAACCCAAAGAUGCAUAUCUAUUUAGACACAUCAACUAAAAAGCCUAUAUUUUUCGUCCAGAGUGACCAUAUAGUUCACUUUAAAAUUCUCCUGAACAUUUACCUUUUUUAAAAAAAAAAAUCUAAGUUUUCUGUAUACCCUUACCUUGAAAUAUUACUCCUCAACAAUCAAGUACUUUAGAAUGUGGGAAAAUCUCAUGGACUAGGGCCUAGUUUGGUGAGGCUCGUGACCAGAAUCACCAUUUUUUAUAUAUAAUAGGUUCAAAAAAUUUAAAAAUACGCUUAGGAUUACGAUUUUUUCUACUCCGAAAAUUUACAAUCAUCUAUUAAACUAUAUCACAUCCACCGAUCGAAACCCCUAAAAAGGAAAUGGAUUAGGCUCCCCCUGAAGCCACAGUAAAGCCCAAAGCCCUAAUAACGUAAAUAUGCAUUAGUAUCUAAUUUUUAAAUUUAUUUCAUUUAAUAAGACUUUGGAUGCACAUUUUAAACUAAUUACUUACUUUAACAAAAUUUAUAGCUAUAAAAAGUAUAUAAAAUAUAAUUAAUUAAAUUUAUAAAAAUAAAUAAUAUAUUCAAAAAUUAAAACUAAAAAUCUUUUAAUUGACUUAAAACUCAAAUAAACGAAAAAAAUGAUAUAACAAAAAUCAAACUGUUACACCACCUAAUAUUUGGAUUUUGAUGCGUUGGUAGGGGUGCGCCAGGCCCGAGCAGUAGUGCAAUGCAAGGGCGACGCGCGAGGGCCCCAGUAGCAAGCUACUGUGGGUGGGCCCUCCCCCACAUAAAAAUUAAUUUAAUAUCGAGGUGGGCACAUGGCCCACGUAUCAGAUAUUAAACUGAUAAGAACAGAUACUACACUUGAUCUUAGCCAAAAGGCCGAGAAAGGUA
This 48489-nucleotide long non-coding RNA is filed under the name Ananas comosus (pineapple). Its description in RNAcentral is "long non-coding RNA (ACOM_LNC022959)". Lineage: Eukaryota; Viridiplantae; Streptophyta; Magnoliopsida; Poales; Bromeliaceae. The record is from RNAcentral.